AGGCCCAAAACUUAAAACGCAGCCCGAAAACAUCAAGCCCGUCGUCGGAAUUAGGGCUUGGGCCCCUUAGGGUUUUGAGUUGCACCACCUAGGGUUUGGAACCCUAGGCGCCGCCGCCUCCUAGCCUCGACAGCAGCCAAACCAGCGCGGCAGCAGCAGCCCCGGCGUGGUGGCAGCCGCCUCGGCUCGGCAGCCUCGGCAGUCCUCACGCACAGCAGCAGGUUCGGCCCUCGGUGCUUCCGGCAGUAGCAGCGCACAGCGGCAGUAGGCGCGCGCAGCCGCCAGCACCCUGUCGGCAGCCUCCAGCAGCAACAGGUCCUCGGCGAUCUCGGCGGCAGCAGCUCCAGCGGACGACAACAGCAACGGCAGCAGCGGCAGCGUGCCGCCCGCCGGGCGCGCAGCGCGCAGAGCGCGCAGGCGCGGCCCCAGGCGCGCACCACCCCUGCUAGUUGCUUCCAGCCGCUCGCCCAGCCCUAGCCGAGCCCGCCUCGCCAUCAGCGCAUGUCCAGACCAAAGAGCAGUAGCGGCCACGCGGUCGCCUGCCUGGGCGUGCUGCGCGCGGUGUGCACGCACCCGCGCGCGCGCUGCCCCUCGGCGCCCGCAGCCCCUCGCUCUCGGUCACCCUCAGCAUUCUCCUUACACCUUCCUCGUCGUUGAUUCGUCGUCAUCCUCGUUUCGUUCCUCAGUUUUACAGAUUUACAACGGAAAAACAAAUACAAUUGAAAUCCUAAUCUAACCACGGAUUUUCUCGUGGUGAAAAAUGAUUACAACGUCAAACGACGUAUCCCACGAAUCAACAGACCACGAAGAACAACAGCAGUAAAAACAACGCACAUUAUUAAUCGUACAUAAAUUAAUAAUAGAGCCAAGAAAUUAAUCCUGGGCUCUGAUACCAAUUGAAGGAAUAUUAAACUGAAUUAACGUUCCGCUUUGCCCGAUGAUCGUUUCUUGGAUUAUUAUUAAUUUAUCAUACAACGAUUAAUCCUAACAUGCUCCUAUGAAUUUAACAACUGCACGUUGGAGUUCAGAAAUACCUGAAGAAUUCAGAAGAAUUCGUCAAUCUGUCGCUGAACAGGUCAGCCAACUUCAACGCUUCGUUUGACGCCUCAAACGUCCUCAAAUCGUAUUUUGUCCAGAAAUACGACUUCUUCGUCUUCGAGAGAGCUUUCCGUGGCCGCCUGAUUCGUCUGAAUCGGAGUUCUGUGGAGGAAGUUAUGGCCGUUUUACGGAGACUGCCAGAACUUGGUUUCCUGCGAAAAUCUGACUCCAGCUCUGAUCUUCUCGACUGUAUCCCGCUCAGCUUUCACCGUUGGAUGGACAACGAUCUAUGAAAGUCCCAAGAGAGAAAUGCUCCACACGUUUUUCCUGCGCCCCACAGCUCUCUCAAAACCCUAAUAUUUUUAUCAGUCUGUUUUCCUGAGAGCUGACAGCUGUAUUUAAUAAAAUUAAAUACGUAUGGGGCGACAGAAUUAGUGUAGGAGGCGUCUUUCUCUCCUUCUAGGGCUAGGAGACUUUGGGCCAGUCCAGGGACCAGAUACAAGGAAUAAAGAUGGGCCUCAAAUAAAUUAAUUUAUCUAUGGUCAGCCCAGACCAUAAUUAAUUUAUAAAUAUCAGUUCAUUCCACUAGAGAACCGAUACUGACUUACCCCUUUAUUGCCGGUGAUGAGUCGGGGCUUGUAUUUAGACUUAUUAAAUCUCCGUAUUUAAAAUAUCCGACAUCCAUUAAUUAAUUAGAGCUCUGACAGCUUAAAUUAAUUAAUCUCUUUAUAAUUCCUUAAGCAGUACCACUCAAACUUUAUUAUUACGCCUGAACUUAAUCAACCUGCAGGGUUUAGCGUAAUAAACCUUAUUGAGCUCCUUAAGGGGAUGUCAUUAUCCUAUACCGGAUACGGGUACUAAUACAGAUAAUCAAAUAUCAUAUAUUAACCGCUAUCACCCAAGAUACAGAGUACUCGAGUUAGUAUAUAACUUUCACCCAUAGUAAGUCAAAGUGAUAUACGAAUUAACAUAUAUAUCUGAAUACUUAUUAGUAUUAAGAUUUAUGAGUCACCGAGAUCUUGAUUCUUCACUUAAGUCAGAUAGAAGAAUACAUCUCAACUGUUGGUCCUAUCAAUACGUAAUGACGUACCAGUAUAGACAAGUAGCCAAGACAAACUACUUCCAUCUAUACUGCAGCCUAAACCAAUAACUUGUCCUAGAGUUAUUUCGGCUGUGAUCAUAUUAUAUCUCUUAAGGUUAUUCCAAUUAUAUGGUCUUCUGUGAUCUACAACACACCAUAUAAUCUACUUAUAUAGAGAUAAAGAACAUACAUAUGCAAUCAUGAACACAAUCAGAUAGGAGAUUAGAUAGUGAACUUAGGAAACAUUGUAUACAAGCAUAAAACGUUCUUGCUUUCAGUAUACAAAUCCAACAUAAGCAUGCAUAGACACUUAAGCAUACAACUCACUUAAAAGCAUAUCACAAGUAAGGAAACAUAAGUUUGACUCGGAGACCAGAGCAAGAGAAUGCUCGGUGGUCGGAGUGGGAAAACUCAGUAGAGCGGAGCAGAAUAGCUCGGCAGAACAACGGAGAAAUGCUCGCCAGGGCAGAGGAAUCAACUUGCCCGGGCAGCGAAAUCAUGAACUCUCUGGCAGAGAAGCGGAGAAAUGCCAGAGGAAUGGCAAAUUCUCUGUCGCCAGAGAAAUCAAAACUUCAGAGAAAUCAAACGUCAGAGGAAUCGAUCGUCAGAGGAAUCGAACUCAGAGGAAUCGAACUCAGAGGAAUCGAAUUCAGAGGAAUCGAACUCAGAGGAAUCGAACUCGCUGACAGGGCAGCGGGGAAAUGAAUUCUCUGGCGUGCCAGCGGGAAAAUGAUUUCUCUGGCAUGCCCGAGGAAUGAGUUCUCGGUUCCGAGUAGAGCAAGGCUCAAGACAGAACGGUGUAGUCAAGAGCAACUCGAAAACUCAUCAACUUUUUCAUUCAUCAAACAUCAUCAUGCACAUCAACUCACUCACGAACUCUACCAACUCUAAAAUCUCAAAAACACGUAAUCCAUCACAAGUUCUUACUCAACAUCAAAACAUCAUCAAGACAUACUUUACAGAUCUUUCCCAAAAUCUUAUCUCAACAAUUUUUGUAAAAACCAUAUCUCAAGACUCGGUUUUGCAAAAUACACGUUAAUCACUUCAAAACAUCACAUACCACACAUAUAACACAUUUCUCAUCUCCAUUUAAGAAAAGAAGGAUUUUUACAGGGUACGAACCCAAGUUUUUCGAAAAUGAAGAAGAAAGGAGAAGGGGAAGUUUCUCAUGCUUAAAACAUCUUAUUACACACACAUAUCACCACAUACUUCUCACAGCAAGUCUAGACUCAAAAGAUCAGAACACUUACUCAAAGAGUUUCAAGAAAAAGGGCGUCUUUUAUCGAUUUCUUCAGGUUAUAACUCAACAAAUCUUCUUGAAACAAGCGUGGAAAGUGUUUAAGGGUAGAUUUAGCGGAGUAUUUUAUCUCAGUUAUGACUGGCGAAGCUUCGAGCUUAGUCUCCAAUGAGGAGAGAGAGAAUGUCGUGGGGAGAGAGAAGAAGUUGAAGGCCGGAAGAUGAGAAAUGACGGAGAGAGAGAGACGCUUCGUUUUACAAAUUCUUAUUCCAUAGAUAGUAGCAUUAAUGCUAAUAGUAAUUGUCUCCCCUACACAAGUCUAAUCCCUAUUUCCACAUGUGGGAAAAAGUAAAAUAUUGGUGUGAGUUAGGAGUGUGCGAGGUAUCAAAUCAUUUGCUAUUUCAAAAUUAUACCGACUCAAAUAAUAUAAUGCGCACGUAUCAUAUAAAUCAAUAACGUCAAAUAAUAACUCCAAAGUAUCACAUUAAAACAGAUCAUCACUCGUCAUUAUCUAAUGUCAUCUAGUUAAUCUCUCUAUAGAUUCUCAUCACUCCUCGACUCUAUCUCUCGCACUUCGUCUCACUCGAAAACAAUAACAUCUCCAUCUUAGCUCUAACAUCAUUCUCAAUUCUCUUACAUCUCUAUUUACUCAUAUUACCAUCCAUGAUAACUUCCUCUCGACUUUAGUUGUUAGUCCUUAACUCUCGAUAGUAUUUCGAUACUAUUGUAAGGUAACUAAAAACGGGGUGUUACAUCCUACCCCCCUUAAGAAAAAUUUCGUCCCGAAAUUUGUUUUACUCACCUUCGGGAAAAAGCUCGGGGUAUUUCUCCUUCAUCUUUUCCUCAAGUUCCCAUGUUGCUUCUUCUUGGUCGUGAUGUCUCCAUUGUACUUUCACCAAGGAAAUUGCUUUGCUUCGUAGUUGUUGAACCUUCUUGUCCAGAAUGGCUUCGGGUCUCUCUUCAUAGCUCAAGAAAUUUGACUCAACUAGAAACACCUCUAGAUUGACUUGCAAUAGAACAAGGACAUCCUAGUGAUGGUAAGUUGACCCAGUGUCAUCUCUCAAGGAAAGUCUUUAAGGGCUUUUAGUAGUAUCGCAAGAAAAACAAUAAAGAAAGCAGUAAAGAGAUUGAUUAUUAAACUAAAACUUAGAAUUAAAAACCUAAGUAAAAACCGAAUUGUAAAACUAAGCUAGGCGAAUUGAACUAUUAAACCCUAGACAAGAUUUUAAAGAACUUAAAUUAAACCUACUUAUGAAAGUAAAUACUUGUAAAAGUAAAGACUUCUAAUCUAGGCAUAAACUAAAGUGCAUAAUUUAAAUUGCAUAAUUAAGAAGAAAGCAUAAACAUGAAUGAAAAAACGUAAACAUGAUUAAACAGAAAUAAAUUAAAUUAAAUACGAAAUACCGUAAAAUCCUUGAACGUGUAAUCGUGUCACGCAAUCACAAUCCAAGAAACUAAACUAAAAACGAAAUUGAAAUCUAACUUAGAACAAUAAAAACUUGAAACUAUGAAAGUAAGUAAAUUCCUAAGCUUCGGAUGCCAACAGAUCUCCAAGAUGGCGUCUAAAACUAGGGUAAAGUAUUCUCUUAUACAAUGAAAACUAUGGCCCUAUUUAUAGACUUCAACUCCUUCUGGAUCACCAUGGAAAUUACCAUGCAAAGCCGGACUCUAAAAGGAAUAGAAUCGUAGAUGAUAAGGUAACUCCAGCUAUGACGCGCUCAGCAAGUAAUCUCCACUCGGGCGGAAAUCGCGGCUCUCGCCAGAGAAAUGGCUAUCGCCAGAGGAACGGAUGACUUCUCUGAUCUUGUCAGCGGAAUGGGUUCCGCUCUGGUAUUGAUUCCUCUGACGUAUCUCUACCCUCUGGCAUAUUGACUCUUCUGGCGCUUUUCUCUCCUCUGGCGGUCGACUCCUCUGGCGCUUUUCUCUCCUCUGGCGGUCGACUCCUCUGGCGCUUUUCUCUGACUUAGCGAGUUCUCUGCUCUGUCUUCUCGAUUCCUCUGACUUUUGACUCCUCUGGCUAGCGACUUCUCUGACUAGUGACUCCUCUGGCUGGUGACUCCUCUGGCUGGUGACUCCUCUGGCAUUUCGAUUCCUCUGGCCUGACUUCUCUGGCCUGACUUCCGCGCGGGGUUUUAGCUCUGGCGCGGCCUUCUCGGUUCUGGCACGGGGGCUUUCCCUCUCUUCCAUGCUAGAGUGUGCACAAACACACGAUUCUUAGCCCAAAUUCUCCAAGAUUUGCACUCUUCAUCUCGAAAACCUAAAUCUUCUGCAAAGCAUAAAAUAGACCAUAAAACGCACCAAUUUCCAGAAGAUUUAACUUAAAAUAAGCACAUGCAAACCCCUAAAAUUAGAACAAUUAGGCAUAAAUCAACCCCCCCCCACACUUACGCUCCUUUGCUUCGUCCUACAAGACAAAAUUCCGUAUAGAACUCCUAGGAAGAGAUUGAUUUCAACAAUGCUAAUUUCCAUCCAAACAUUCUCAAAGUCAAUUCAAAAUUUUACAAUCAACACAUAUCUCUCGAUCAUGCAAGUAACUCAAAGUUUAAGAAGCAACAAAAGAGUAAUGUAAGUAAUUCGAUCAGACCCAAUUCUCCGCUAGAAGUGAAUUCCCUAAUGUGAUCGCCUUUAUAAUCAAUAUCACCAUUUUUCACACUUUGUGUGCUUAAGAUUUUCGACAGUUGAGCCAUAAUUCAUGAAAUAAAAACCAUUUGGAUGUAAUCCAAAGUCUUUUCACGUGGUUUCCCAUGCUCAUAGUUAGACUAGAGGAGCAGAGACUCAGAGUUGUCACAUUUCAGAACAGGCCAGAUGUUUCAGAGCUGGCAAUUUUGAAGUUGGCAAUUCGUCAAACAUUUUUCACAUUUCACAGAUAAGAUACGAUCGUAGGCAAUCACAAUGACAACACUCCUUCUAGCAUCUACCGGACAAAUCACAUUUUACAUAGAUAUCGUGCAAUGACAAACAUCUUCUAGCAUCACACAACACGUUUACUUAUACAAAGUCAAAAUACACAUCUUGCACAAACGAAAAAUCAAGAAAUAUCCCAUAUUCAUUAAAGCAAGAUUCGAACAAACAAUACUAUCUCGCCCAAUUGAAAAUAACCAAUAAAAACCCCCCACACUUAACAUGCCAUGUCCUCAGGCACAAAAAGAAAUAAGAAAGAGAAAACUGUCCCUGAUUAUGGCAUGGAAACUGAAGCAUCGUGCGAGGUGGUAAGAGGGGAAUUCGCUGGCUGUGGCAGAGUGGAGAAGUGCAGCGGGAGAAAGGCAGCGGUGGCGGAGUGCAGUGCGGAGAAUUUCAGCGCUGAAAAUAAGAUAUGCUCACCAAGCAUCAUAGUAUCCGCAAAGCAUCCAAACUUAGGAGAGACACGAAACACACAACUAAAAAAAAAAAACAGAAAGUAAAAACAAACCAACGGUGGGUUGCCUCCACCAAGCGCUAGAGUUAAGUCUCCAGCCCGACUUCAGUUUGAUCUUUAGUGAGGAUCGUGCAGAGUGUGAGACUCCACCACCAUCGGAGUACUCCGCCCAUAGUAGGAUUUCAUGCGAUGUCUGUCUCCUCUGAAAUUCUCCUUAGAAUGGGCUGCGCCAAGGUCAAACACGUCCUUUGGCAACACGCCUUCUUUAUUCAGGGACAACGCUACGAUCUGAACCUCGGCUUUUCCUUUUUCUCUUCUAAGAACAUGUAUUUGAGAUUGGCUGGGAGUUCCUUCAGUUCCAGCGCUGGCCUCGUGGUUCUCAUCUGUUCAUCAAUGGCAGCUCCGUAUGGCAGUGCAGCACUGAGCUCGGCAGAGCUGGACUGGACAUGGCUGAGCUCGGUAAAAGGGUGCAGCGCUGGGCAGUGGAGAGCUGAAGGUUGCAGAGCUGAAGGGGGCAGCGCUGGGCAGUGGAGAGCUGAACUCUUUAGCUUCCCGAGCUAGCUCUUCCAUGUCUGUCGAUCCAGCACAGACUUCCACACACUCCUGCUCCUGUAAAAAUACCUUCUCAACCAAGCCAUCAAUAGGAUCUAUAAAGGAGCAUUCGUUGAUAAAAUUUGCAGAAGGCAUAGCACGACUAUCAUGCACAGAGAAAGACACUGACUCCCCUAACACAGUCAUUUUAAUAUUUCCAUCCUUAACAUCAAUUAAGGUGUUAGUGGUUGCCAUAAACGGUCUUCCUAACAGUAGUGUGUGCUCUACACCAUUUUCAUGCACCUCCCCAAUGUCGAGAACCACAAAAUCUACGGGAAUAAUCAAGCCCCCAACAUUCACUAAAACAUCCUCUAUGAUCCCACGGGGGUAUCUAACGGACCUAUCGGCGAGUUGUAGCACAUGCGGGUGGGUUUAAAUCACCUAACUCUAAUUGUUUGAAAAUAGAGUAAGGCAUAAGGUUAAUUCCAGCACCCAAAUCUAACAUUCCGUACUUCCUUACCAUUUCCUAAAGCAUUUUAAUCACGAACUACCUGGGUCGCGUUGCUUUGGUGGCAGAGGCUGUUGUAUGAUCGAGUUCGCAAUUUCUGAGACCAGAACCUUCUCAUUGUCCUCGAACUUCCGCUUGUUGGAGACUAACUCCUCGAAAAACUUCACAUACGCUGGGACUUUUCUGAUCACAUCCAGGAGGGGCAGAUUCAGUUCACUUGGCAAGCAUGUUAGUAGAAGUCGGCGAACUGUUUAUCCAUCUUUUAUUCCGCAAUCUGCCCGGAAAGGGAUUGGUGGCCGAUAAGGUGUAGUGGAUUUGUGUAGUUUGGCCUUUUUUCCUUCCUCCAUCACUCCGUCUUUUGGCUGAUCUUCCUUCUCUCCUUCCUUUUUCUUCUGGUCUGGUCCUUUUUCUUCAUAAGGGCUCGUCAGAGUGGAACUUGGCAGAAUUGAACCUUGUGCGGUGGAACUCUGCACGAUCUGACUUCAUCCCACGAGUGUUCAAGUACGCGCAUCUCUGGAUCGGCAGACUGGCUUCGCCAGAGGUGACUUCGGCAUCUCUGGAAUCGGCAGGACUGGCUUCGCCAGAGGUGAUUUCGGAAGCUCUGACUUUGGCAUGGCUAAACUCGUCAGAGCUGGUGAUCGUGACAGAGUGAACGGCUUUGUUAGAACUGGCUUUCUUAUCAGACUCGUGGCCUGCGAGUCGGCUCUUGCAUCUUCACUUGAUUGUCUCCGAAUUACCACUAUGCAGAAUAGUGAUAGCUGACCUGAUGAGUUUGCAAGGGUUAUCAUUGAAUAUUCCGGGGUGCUUUUGCUUCGCAAUGGUCAAGCUGCCUUUCAGUAUACAGUACUCUUGUCUUAAGUCUUUUUACUUGUGGAUACGUUGAGACUCUCAUAUUCUAGUUUGGUCAUCUGCCUUUUUUGCUUCUGAUUUUCGUCAAAACUUGCAAGGUCAUUUUUCAAUUGUUGACUUCUGGGUGUGAGCAAUCUUAGCUGCGAAUCGCUGAAGAUUCCCUUGUUGUUAGAUAGCACUCGUGUAUCUUGUUGGGCAGCAAUAUCCUUGCAGUGUAUGGUAUGUUGAAAUUUUAAUCCAUUAAUUGACUAUGUCCAUUGAUCAUAUUUCAGUCGUGUCUGGUGUGCCACUUGGUCGAAUCAAUCUCCUAGAUGACAGUCUUGGCGUUGAUUGUAGAUGUUGCACUAACGUCCAGGGUCUCUCUGAAUCCAGCUUCUCGACUCUGUAGAUAUCCAUGUUCCGUAUUGACCUCAGCUUGUCCUUCCGGAGUUAAUUCUGCCAUUCGAUGACACUCAUGGUCUCGAUGGCUGACAUCUUCACAAAUACCACUACGGCUCUACGUACUGCAUGGCUGGAUUCGGCGAGGUUGAACUCUGAACUGGAGAAUUUUCCAUCUUGCCCAUCUUGAGAUGCUCCAUGUUUAGCCCUAUUUUGUGAUAAAUCGCUGGGUGUUUACGUGUUAUAUUGACUUUUAUUUUGGUCUCUUUCACUUAAGAGUUGAAUGAUUUGAGCUUUUGUGCUAAUUUUGUUGUCUCAGGAUUUUGUGCUCACAUUGAUUGAUAUGUGAACAAAAUUAAAGUCAGAAUUUAGUUGAAUGGUCUGAUGAAGAAUCAAAGUUCGUCUCGAUACGAGUUCGUAGGCGAAAACGGAUCUAAAAUCCGACUUGAAACGAGGGAGAACGGACCAAAACAAAAACGCCGCGCGCACGGCGCCCGCCUAGCCUCGCCGCUCGCCUACUUUGGAUUUACGAAAGGGGUAGUAGGCGGCCGCCUACUUCUCUAGGCCACCGCCUACUUCUAGGCCACCGCCUUCUCUAGGCCACCGCCUACUUCUAGGCCACCGCCUUCUCUAGGCGGCCGCCUACUGCGUGAUCUGGCAGUUACGAAUUUUUUAGUUUAAAACCCAUCUCUAGGGUUUCACUUUAUAUUCUCGUCUCCAGCAGCCUCCAUAGGCGAUUUUCACCUCUUUCUUAAGGUUUUUAGAGUUUCACAACACUUACUUUCGAUCUUGGAUUCAUUGGAUUGCUUUGGAUGUCAAUUAACAUUUCAUCCGAUUGGAUUUCCUUGGAUUGCUACGUUAUGUAAGAACUCCCUUUGAUUCUCUUUGUUUAUGAAUCCCUUGGUUAUUUAAGUCUUUGUUUCUUGUCUUUAAUGAAUAUGAUGAUUGAAGAUUAUUGUUGUUGAUUCUAUAUUCUCUUGGUUUUAUGAAUCUUUUGGUUAAUUGAGUUUUGUGUUUUAUGUAUUUGAUGAAUGUGAAGAUUGAAGUUCAUUGUUGUUGAUUCUAGAUUCUCUUGGUUUUCUAAAUCCUUUGGUUUAUUGAAUCUUUAUUUUGUGUUUUGAUUAAUAUGAUGAUUGGAGAUAAUUGUUGUUGAGUUUAGAUAAUCUACGUGAUUCGUAGUUUGUUGCUAUUGUUUACCCUUUUCCUUUCUUGUUGAUGAAUAUUUAGAGAUUUCUUUUAUGGAGAUUAAGAUUUUCUUGCAUUCGAAUCUUAUGCUUGAUUGAGUUUCUUGCCUAGGUAGUUAUUAAUCUUUGAUGUUUACAAGUUUAUGAUCGUUUGGUUUAGUGUUGGAGUUGGAAACUCUAGUUGAUUUCGUUAAUGUUCAAAUGCCAUGUUCUAGUUAGUUCGUCGUUGAGUUGCUUGCGAAAUUCUCUUUGAUUGUGUGUGUUUGCUUAACAUUCAUUUGAUUAAAUGUUAAUAUGUUAUUUCGCCUAGAUAAUCGUUGUUUAUGGUGUUGAAUUGAUGAUUGCUUUCUAGAUUGCUAGUUUAGAACCUUAGCUUUGUUUGCCUUCUUGCGUUCUUAUUGGCUUCCUAUCUUUUGCCUAGUUAACUUUAUAUGCUUUAUUUUAAUUACGCAUUAGUUAAUCGGAGAGAAAGUGUCAGACCCAAUUUUCUGAUUAGAGUGUUUAGAUUUCUUUUAAGUUUCUUGUGAGCAAUACGAUUAGAGCCCUGCUAAGUCUUCCUUGUGAGACGACUUGAGUCACCUUACCACCCUAGGACGACCUCGUAUAAAUUCGAGUCCAUCCGUUAGGUGUUUUUGGAUGAGUCAAAUUUUGGCGCCGUUGCCGGGGAAGGCUUUAGGCAUUUGAUUGUGUUGCAUUGUUUUCCGUGUUUAUUUUUGUUUAUUUCUUUUGACUCGGUUAUUUUCUCCCUCCGGUGCGUUUGAUUUGUUUGUUUGUGUUGUGUAUGCAAGGACGUAGAAGCUUGAAGAGAAAGCUUGCACCUUACUACGACAACAUUCAUCGACCUCGGGAGGUUCUUUCAAGCCUAGAGAAGGAGUCCGAGUCCAGUUCGAGAAGUUUUGUGGAAUCACAGUUUCAAGAGAAAAACUGUGAAGAGAGAAUUGCUUCCAAUCCCAUUCUGGAAACCGUUGAGGAGACACUUUCCGUGCAUUCUGAAGAAGAAGAAGAAGCUCGGCCCAAUCCUGACCAAGAAGCAAUGGCGGAGCAGAAUGUCCAGUACAUGGGAGAUUUUUCCAGGCCAGUUAUUGGGACCACUAGCACUUCUGCGAUAGUGUUUCCCACGGCGGUCCGGAAUUAUAAUCUGAAGCCCAACGACUCAAACCUGCUGCCGCUCUUUCACGGGAUGCCCAGUGAGGACGCCUUGCAGUUCAUCCGUGAUUUCUGCACCCAAGUGCAGACCUUCCCACUGCUGGAACUCACCGAGGAUCAGUUGAGACUCAAGUGCUUACCUUAUGCACUCAAGGACCGGGCGAGAACGUGGUUGCUGUCCCUGCCGCCGAACUCCAUCACUACAUGGGGAGAGGCGUGUGAGAAGUUCAUGCUCAAGUACUACCCUAAUCACAAGACUCAAGAGAUUAGGAGCCAAAUAAUGAACUUCAUGCAAGGAGCUGACGAGCCUCUCCACGAGGCUUGGGAGAGAUUCCAAGAGCUCCUCCGCCAGUGCCCACAGCACCAGUUAUCACCUGUCAUGUUGAUGCAGUUCUUCUAUGACGGAUUGAUUCAGACGGCACAGUUUAUGGUGGACAGUACAGCAGGGGGCAACAUUGCCCGGAAGACAGCUGAUGAGCUCAAGGAGAUUUUCAACACACUUGCAGCGAGUUCUCAACAGAAAUCAGCUAGAGGAAGGAGGGUUGAAGCCAAUGCAGUAGCUCCCAACAAUGAGCUUCAGAAGCAAGUAGCAGAAUUGAUGAGGCAAGUUCAGCACCUCAAGAUGAACCAGGCAGAAGCCCACCAGUUCACGCGCCACCAGCAGAAGGAUGUGGAAUUUGUGGCGAUUUUGGUCAUGGAACCAACGCGUGCCAUCGCAUGGGGGGAUUCACACCUGAAGGAGAAGCAGAGGUCUAUGCUGCUCAGAGCUAUCCGGGGAGGCCUCAAUUUGAACAGAGGCCUAUCUUUAAUCAAGGGCAACAAAGCUCCAAUUCGGGUUGGAGAGCUCAGCAGCAGAACUACACUCAAGCUUAUCAGCAGCAGCAGCCCCCGCAGUAUCAGCAGUAUCAACAGUUCCCUAUGCAACAAGGGAAUUUUCAGCAGCAGCAGCAAUACCAGAAUGCCUCCCAACAGUGUCAGAAGCAAGCUCAACCGCAGAAGCCGUCUCUCGAGGACACCAUGCAGUCCUUCAUGGAGAUGACCAAACAGAACAUGGAGUCUCAGAGUGCUACCAUCAAGCGCCUCGAGACUACAGUUGGGCAACUUACAGGAGCCCUAAAUCAGCUGCAGCAAGAACAGCCAACUGGGAAGUUCCUAAACCAGGACAAACAGCCGCGUCAAGCUCAUGCCGUGGCGGUAAUCAAGGAAACUACCCCAAUAACCACGGGGAAAUGGAGAAGCAGAACCGUGCAAGCAAUCAAGGCAACCCAAUGCCCCAGUGAGCCACUGCCACCUGUCACUGUUGCACCAGACCAACCACCACCCAAGCAAGGAGAUCCAGGUAGCUUUAUCGUUGAUAUUAGCUUAGGAGGGGUUGAAAAGGUCUUGGGAAUGCUUGAUUUGGGCGCGGCAGUCAAUUUGAUGCCGCUUGAUAUUUUUGAGAGGUUGGGAAAUAAAGAGCUGAAAUGCACGAACAUUAAGAUAGAACUAGCUGACGGCUCCAUUAGCAGCCCACGAGGCCUUGUAGAGGAUGUUGAGGUAGUCGUGAGGGGGAUUAGUGUUUUAGCUGACUUUGUUGUACUUGAUGUGGGAAAAGGGAUUAGAGGCGAGAAUGGGCAUCUCGUGCUACUUGGCCGACCCUUUAUGGCUACCACCCAUACUCGCAUUGAUGUGGGUACGGGAACUGUAAGUAUGGUAGGGGCAGGUAGAGCGGUAACAUUCUCUGUUUUUGAUCAAAAACCUACUACCCCCACUCGCUUAAUUCAAAUCUGCUCUUAUGUUGAAACCUUUAAUGCUUUGGAUGAGGAUUGUAUUGUGCAGGAAUUCCUUAAUAAGUUGCAGGAGGAGGACGAGAUUGUGGAGGAAUUCCUUGCUACCUUGCAGGAUGAAGCUGACAUUGAGCAGGAUCUCUGGAUAAGCUGCACGAGGAGUGAUAUUGAGCAAGGUUUUCUGUGUGCCUUGCUCCUAGAAGAGAAGCUUGAUGAGGUUGGGUCAUUCAAUCUCGUGGGAUGUGUGGAUAGAGGGCCAUCCCAGGAUACGAGCAAUGGAGGACUCAUUUGGAGGACCCGCAGCUGCAAUUCAAGAAGAUGUGUUUACCAAGGGCGUUAAGGCAGCUGGAUNAAUUGCUGGAAAAGCUGCAAGAGGAAGAUGAUAAGAGCAAGGCCUUCUGUGUGCUUUGCUAUUGGAAGAAAAGCUUGAUGAGGUUGAGUCACUCAAUUUCGUUGGAUGUGUGGAUAGAGGGCCAUCCCAGGAUAUGAGCAUGGAUGACUCAUUUGGAGGACCCGCAGCUGCAACUCAAGAAGAUGUGUUUACAAGGGCGCUAAGGCAGCUGGAGCUUCAAUCGGAUUUUGGUUAAGGGGUUCUCUUAGUCGGGCUGGCGACUUAAAAACUAGCGCUGCAUGGGAGGCAACCCAUGUUUUCUUGCUUUUUCUUGUUUCGUUUUUCUUUCGUUUUGUUUGUGUUGUGUUUUGUUGCUUCUGUUGUUUGGUGCAGGUUGUUGCGUUGGAGACUGCUUGUUCUUUGGAUGAGAGAGAGGCAGACAUCGUGGGACACUACAGACUCACCACUGGAUCGGUAUUUAGGGAAGUUUCCUCUUUCACCUCUCUUUUUGUUUGCACUGAGGACAGUGCCAGAUUUUAAGUGGGGGGGGUGUUUGUUGGUAGUUGUGAUCCUUUGGGUGCCUUUUUGUUGUGUUUUUGGGCUUUCUUGUGUGGGGCAAAUGGUCUCCUUUAUCUUGAUUGUUGUUUGGCUUCAAGUAAUAAUGCACACUUUGAUGAUUUGUUCACAAGUAAAUUUCAUGCUUUGUGUUGGCUUGGUUGCUAUCUUUGUCUCUCAGGCUAUGCAUAUUCCUCUCUUGAUGUAAGUUGUUUAAUGUUUUGGAUGCAACACCCUUAUGAGUUAUUCUUGACGUGAUUUGUCCGGUAGAUGCUAGAGGGAGUGUUUUCAUUGUGAUAGCCUACGAUCUUAUCCCUUGAGUUUGAAUGUUGGUUUGUUGUGAAGUUUUCUAUAGCUCUGGGUCUCUGCUCCUCUGACGGUAGUGUUAUGAGCAUGGAAAACCACGUGAGAACAUUUUGGAUUACCUCCAAAAGUGUUGAUCUCACGAAAGUUGGCCCAUCUAUUGAGAAUGGAAUAACAUCACCUUUAAAAGAAAGAUGUAUAAAAUUUGAUUUUGGUUUGAUUGUUUAUCAUCUUCAAGGAAAAUGGGAUUUGAUUAUAAAGGCAAUCACAUUAGGGAAUUCACCUCUAGCGGAGAAUUGGGUCUGAUCGGAUUGAAUUGUAUCAUGUGGUUGUUGCUUCUUAAAAUCUUAACAAUGAACAUCUCGUGAGGAAUGUGAAUGGCUAAGAGACUUAGAUUGGUUGGAGAUGUGAAUGGUGAGGAAGUUUUCUUGUGAACUAUCUUUUGGUGUCGUGACUUUGCUUGAGGACAAGCAAAGGAUCAAGUGUGGGGGGUUGUUUAGCCCUAUUUUGUGAUGAAUAUCUGGGUGUUUACGUGUUAUAUUGACUUUUAUUUUGGUCUCUUUCACUUAAGAGUUGAAUGAUUUGAGCUUUUGUGCUAAUUUUGUUGUCUCAGGAUUUUAUGCUCAAAUUGAUUGAUAUGUGAACAAAACUAAAGUCAGAAUUUAGUUGAUUGGUCUGAAGAAGAAUCGAAGUUCGUCUCGAUACGAGUUCGUAGGCGAAAACGGAUCUAAAAUCCGACUUGAAACGAGGGAGAACGGACCAAAACAAAAACGCUGCGCAUUGCAGUCUGCGAAGGGCAUACACGGCGCCGCCGUGGGACGGCGGCCGCCGUCCCUGGGCGCGUUUUUUCCAUUUAAAAGUUGAAUUUUAGGGUUUUUCACCCCAUACUCGAACACAGCAGCCUCUAGGGCGAUUUCCACCAUUUUCCUUUGGUUUUUAGAGAUUCAAAACAUCUACAUUCGCUCUCGGAUUCAUUGGAUUAUUGUGAUUGCAAUUUACAUUACGUUGGAUUAAGUUCACUUGGAUCAUAUGCUUUUGUAAGAACUCACUUGAUUCUCUUUAGUUUAUUUGAAUCCUUUGGUUUGCCUCAGUAUUUGUUUAUGCUCUUGAUGAUUGAUAGUUCUAGAAUACCUUCUAUGAUGUGAAUGAUUGUUUAUGAUUUAAGUAUUCGGUUUGUUCUUUGUUGAUCGUUGAUGAAUGCUCUUGAUUGUUAGUUGAGGAAUCUUUCUAAGGAACAAUUAGAGUUUGGUUUGAAUUUGAAUUUCAUGUUUGAUCUUGUCUUCAUGCCUAGGUAGUGAUUAUUCGUUGUUUACGGGUUUAUGAUUGUUCGAUUUGACGUACUAGAUACAACCCUAGUUUGAUAGGUUUAAUGUUUAAUGUUUAAUCUCUACACUCUCAGUUGUUACAUAUCUACUGCAUAGUUAAUGUUUAUUGCUUCCUUUCGUUUAUGUCUUGGUGAUUAGAGAGUGAGAUAGUGCCAGACCCAACUACCCGAUUAGAAUGUUUAGGUUUACUUUCCGUUUCUUGUGAGUGAUACAAUCAGAGCCCUGCUUAGCCUUCCUUGAGAGACGACUUGGGUUAGCUUAUUACACUAGGACGACCUCGUACGAUUGCGAGUCAAUCCCUUAGGUGUUUUGGGUUGAGUCAGCUAUUAUGGAAUCAUUCCAUUACUUGAUCUCGUCUUGUUCAAGAUCAGACAUUUUUAUUCAUCACAUCCUAGUCCCUACCACAUCCGACAAGAUUUAGGAAUGUCUAGGUAAUUAGGAUGGCAUAACAAGAAGAGUGUUUGGAAGAAAACACGAGUUAUGAGAGCAGUCGUAGAAUAUAUUAUUACGGGACGAGCACAACUGUUCGAUUAUGGAUUUUCAUAUAUUAGCCAAGUAUGUAGAAAGCUAACCAUUUCGAGGAUGAGAAGAAGUGAUGCUAAGCCAGAAUAGGCAAUAGCAGAUUUAAGGAGAUCGAGAUGACAGAUUAGAACAGAUGACGUUUUCCACGACAGCAGACUGAGAUGACGACUAGUAUAGAAGUAGCAUCGUCGUCGUAGUACGGGACAUUUUAUUUCCGUUAUGCCCCGCAAUUAGUAAGGGUUCUCGAACGAGAAAAUUUUCUUAUAUGUCUAUACGACGAUGAUCAGAGAGUCCCUAUGCUUGAGUAGAGUUUUGAUCUGAGGUUACGAUGAUAGACAUGAAAUAUGUCUUUGACAUUGAGUUAUGAGAAUUAAGGAAAUAAUAUGAUAAGAGAUAAGGCAAUAAAACCGUAGCUGAUUACGAACGUCAGUUUCGCGACUUGGUUCGGUAUGCCACAUAUCGAGAAGAGAUGAACAAGAAGAUGUCAGAAUUAUUUCGAUCAGGUUUGAGAUAAGAGGUACGAGACGAUUUAACGAGUCGGAGUGCGGUUAUGUGUACUGAAACAUUAAAUAGAGCAUUGGAUAUAGAACUGGUAAUGUAGCCAGAGAAAGCGAUUUAAGCUUCAGCAACCCAAAACGAUUAAGAGCACUCGAAUGUGCAAUCUAUCUUUUUCUGGACAAGGGCAAGAAGGAAAGAGAAAAUGGGACAGAAUACCUGCUACACCUGUCGAGGGGACGGGCACUACUCAACCAGUGUCCAAAUCGUCAGCAAAGUGGAAGCGGAGAACGACCGAGUCAGUUCGCCGCAACUCAAAGCGAUAAAGGAAUCCUACCGCUACCCACCACAGCGACAACAGCCAGCCUUCGACCAGUCAGUCAAGAAAGCAACCACCAGCCCCCAGGCGAAUCAACCCAUCACCAGAGAGUGUUUCGCCUGAGCAGAAGGCUAGGACAAGAAUCGAAGAAAUCUAGCAGGUAUGGGUGAGUUGAAGGUGUACCAUAGUAAUACUUUUUAUAGGGAGCAUCCUAUUCUUUUAUUUCCCAUACUUGUAUCAAUACUAUGGAAUUGAACAUAGAGCCUGCUCCGCAACAUCUAAGAGUGAUGACUCAUAUAGCAGAACCAUACAGUCUCACUCGUAUGUCCUACUUAGAAUUCGAGCUAGAAUCGAUUAAGCUCAAGGCUAAAAACCUAAGGAUGAUGUCUAUAUGGCACAUAGAUAUUAUUUUGGAAUGGAUUGGUUAGAGGAGAACCAUGCGAGGAUACAAUGCAAGGAGAGACGAAUAUCGUUUCAAUUUCCAGGCCAAGAGCCUACUUCGUUUAUUGGCGUUGAGAGAAAAUAGAGAAAAGUCGCCAAUAAUUUCGGCGUUUCAAGCCCGAAAGCUUUUGCAGAGAAAGGAUACAACCGUGUAUGUUGUAUAACUGAAUCAGAGUGAAGAGUCCAAAACAAACAUAGAUGACGUGCCAGCCGUGCGAGAAUACAAAGAUGUUUUUCCUAAAGCUUUAUCAGGAUUACCCCCAGAUCGAUAGCUCGAGUUUACGAUUGAUCUUGAGCCCGGAGCCGCACCGACGUCAAAGGCACCAUAUAGAAUGGCUCCGGCAGAGUUGCAAGAGUUGAAGCUGCAACUACAAGAAUUGCUAGAUUUGGGCUUCAUUCGACCUAGUGUUUCCCCGUGGGGAGCACCGGUUUUCUUUGUCAAAAAGAAGGACGGUAGUUUGAGGUUAUGCAUUGACUACUGCGAGCUGGAUAAAUUGACACCGAAUAAUAAGUAUCCGUUACCUCGGAUCGAUGAUUUAUUCGAUCAACUCCAAGGAACGAGCACUUUUUCAAAGAUUGACUUGAGAACGGGGUAUCAUCAGUUGAAGAUAAGAUCAGAAGAUAUUUCCGAAGACGGCAUUUCGUACGAGAUACGGGCACUAUGAAUUCAUAGUCAUGCCUUUUGGAUUGAUGAAUGCUCCUGCAGUGUUCAUGGAUCUCAUGAACCGAGUCUUUCACGAAUACUUAGACAAGUUCAUGUUAGUGUUCAUAGAUGACAUUCUGAUUUACUCAAAGAGUAAACGAGAACACGAAGAAUAUUUGAGAAUCUUGAUAGAGGGUUGAGAGUUGAAAAGCUAUAUGCUAAGUUCAGCAAAUGUGAGUUCUGGCUUAAAGAAAUCAAUUUUCCUUGGCCAUGUCGUUUCUGCGAGAGGAAUCAAAGUAGACCCAGCAAAAGUUCAAGCAGUAGAGUGGAAAGCACCGACUACACCACAUGAAAUCCGCAGUUUUCUGGGAUUAGCAGGGUAUUACUGAAGAUUUAUUGAGGGCUUUCCAAAAAUUUCUAAGCCAUUGACGCACCUUGUUAGGUCCGGGGGGUCUCGAAUAGGUGUAUGGGGGGGGAAUACACCUAUAGGCUAUUAUUACAACAAUCUACCGACCUCAAUCAGAGGGAUCUCAGUCAGAGAUUAAAGCGAAACUUUACAAGCAAACAAGACACCUGUUUUACCGAAAUUAGUUUUGACCAACAGGGUUGACGACUGAUACUGAAAGCUCUUCAGUAAAGAGUUAUCAGUUAAGUCACAGGAACUUAACUGAUCCACGUAAGGGCUUCAGUCGUGUUUGCAAAGAUAGAGAUGAUAUCACUCUUCCUUACUAUCAGAGGAUAGUUCAGUCAGAUUGAUAUCAUACGCAGCGGAAAUUAAACUUAGUUUCGAAUAGCCUGGUGGAGCAGAUAGUUGGUAUUAAGGUUUCUCUUUUCUGUUAGUCAGUGUUCAGUUUUAUCAAUUGAAAUCGCACAAGUAUUGAAUGUAAAACUGAAAGCUGUAAAUAACACAGAGACUUUUACGUAGUUCGGAAAAACCCUUUCCUACAUCCACGGCUGGUUGAUCAGACCAACAAUCCACUCCGCAAGUGCUUGCCUGGUGCACUGCAAACCGUACCCGUGUGCUUGCCUGGUGCACACAACCGUAAACUGAAGAUAAACUCUCUUCAGCACCCACACACCUCGCGUAGGAUUUCCCUGCUAAGCACACCUCGUGCUCAGACUUCCCACUCAGAGUUCAGAGUACCUUCCUGAACUCCGAAUCACUCAAACACUCUUAUGGAGGAGAGGUUUAAACGAGUGCCAACUAUACUUACAAAGAACAAGUUCUUUGAAGCAAGUUUGACCUUUGGCUUCUGGGUAAACAGAUAUAUGCCUAGGGUCUAAGAGAAUGUAUGUAAUCAGUAGAGACUAUUUUGGCUUUGGAAUUCUCUUCUUCGAUUCAAGCUUUGGGCGGUUAAGCUUUAGGCUGAGUAGCAAUUUCGGCAGAGCUUCAGCUUAUGUCGUUGAAUCGGUGAAGAUUGAAGUGAUCCUCGAGCGCUAUUUGUAGGAGAACUCUUGAAUAGAUCCGUUGGCGUAAAUCGUCCUCAAGAUUUCUUCCGUUGGAGAGCAAUUCGAAUUUGGGCUGAGGCUUCAAUCUUCGAGGUUCCUUGUCUGUGUGGAAACGGCUCUCUUUGAUGGACAGGAGAAGUGACAUCUCUGAAAAGUAACCACCAGAUAGGAAUGACCUCUGCAGAGAUAAGAUAUUGUGAUAUCUCUGCAUUUAAUGCGGCUGUACUUGAGCGUACGUGGCUUCCUCUGAACUUGGAAGAUCAGUCCUAGGAGAAUGUUCAACUGAUACUUGACUUUAGUAUUAGUCCAUUGCGCGCAUUAAAUAAUCAGUCUUCAACUGAUUCUUCAACUGAUACUUCAGUUGGUAACUCCAGUCUUCAGUCUUUAGUCUUCAUUCUUCAGUCUUCAGUCUUCAGUCUUCGACACCGCAACUAAACUAGAAACGAACUCUAACACUUGAGUUCAAAACGAUUCUAGUCUAUUACAAAUAAGUCCUAUAUUUUGGUAUCAUCAAACAAGGGUUAUGAUAUUCCACAAGGUUCCCAACACACCUGCUAAAGAAAGAAGUUAAAUUUGAGUGGACGAACGAGUGUGAGUUAAGUUUUUUCAGAGCUGAAGAAGAGAAUUACCACUGCCCCAAUUUUAGCUAUUCCAAAGGCGAAUAAAGAAUAUGCAGUUUCUACAGACGCAUUGAAGAAUGGACUGGGAUGUGUACUGAUGCAAGAUGGAAGAGUUAUUGCAUAUACCUCACGACACCUCAGCACAUGCGAUGAAUUAUUCGACGCAUGAUUUAGAGUUAGUAGCCGUAGUGCAUGCUUUGAAGAUCUGGAGACACCAUCUUUAUGGAGUACGGUGUGAGAUAUAUACCGAUCACAAAAGUCUCAAAUACUUCUUUGAGCAAAAAGAUCUAAACAUGCGACAGAGAAGAUGGUUAGAGUUGGUGAAAGGAAUUACGAUUGCGGGAUAAAUUAUCACCCCGAAAAAGCUAACGUUGUCGCUGAUGCGUUGAGUAGAAAGAAUCAAGGAGAAUUAAGAUUUUUCCUUACUCGAGAAGAAAACUUGAUCAAAGAAUUCGAGAGAUUGAGAUUGGAGGUAGUGAUACCACCUCAAACGACGGAAAUAGUGAUUGCUACACUGAACGUUACAUCUGACCUACGAUCAAGGAUAAUCACAACUCAAAGAGAGGAUGAAAAGAUGGAGAGGUUACGAAUGAUGAUUCGAACCGAGAAGAUGGAGAAUUUUCAAGAAGCGGCAGACAAUGCCAUAUUAUUUGAUGGAAGAAUGUGUGCCUGAUAGAGAAGAGCUGAAAAAUGAAAUCAUGAGUGAAGCUCAUGACACCCCUUACACAACACACCCAGGAGGUACGAAGAAGUACCAAGAUUUAAAAACGAGAUUUUGGUGGGAAGGAAUGAAACGAGAGAUAGCAGCCUUUGAUUAGAGAUGUUUGGCAUGCCAGCAAGUGAACGCAUUACAUCAACGACCCUAUGGCAAGUUGCACCCAUUAGAAAUUCCUGAGCGGAAAUGGGAUCAUAUAGCCAUGGAUUUUGUAACUAGAUUGCCAAAAAUCUAAAAGAGGAAACACAACUAUUUGGGUAAUCAUAGAUCGAUUGACGAAGAGUGCACAUUGUAUACCGAUCCCAAUUACCUAUGGAUCUGACAAGUUAGCUCAGAUUUAUAUCCGAGAGAUAGUGCGAUUGCACGGAGUACCGAUGACGAUUACAUCGGAUCGAGAUUCCAGAUUUACUUCACGUUUCUGGAUGAGUAUGUAAAAAGAAUUAGGCACUAAACUGAUUUUUAGUACAGCCUUUCAUCCGCAGAUGGAUGGACAGUCCGAAAGGACUAUACAAGUUUUAGAAAACGUAAUUAGAACUAUUGUGCUAGAUAGAGGAAGUUAAUGGGAGCAAGUUUUGCCCCUGAUCGAGUUUGCUUAUAAUAACAGUUUUCAAUUGACUAAGAAGUGUCCCCCUUUUUGAUGAUGCCAAAACCACACAGCAGUUCUAGACAACAAAAAGACUGAACUCAUAGUACAAGUUCUAAACAAGGGUGAAAAGUUCCCCCUAACAAUAAACCUAAACAACUUGUACUUAGAGCAAGAACGAAAACAGUUCUAAAACAGAACUUAAAGAAGACAGAAAAACCAUAAUCAGAGCCUGGACAAAGAGUCAUUGUCUUCAGGUUGAGAUCAAAAAGAAGUUCAUUUCAUUAAUAAGACUGAUAAGCAUCAGUCGAGGUACAGAGCAAGACUUACAUUGGAAGUAAAAAAGAAAAACAAAAACAUCAUGGAACCAUGGACUCCAGCAGUCUGCUUGGCUGCGCCUUGAACUUCUUGAUCUUCAUCUUCUGUCUUCUGUCUUCUGUUCCUAAGCUUGUUCCACUCUCACUUGUGUUCCGUUGAUUGAGGUCUUGUCUCUUGGCGAUCUUCCUCAUGAUCAUCGAUGAAAUAGAGGAUGAUCAUGUUGCUUACCGACUUAAGUCAUUAGAUUGUUCUUCUUUCCCCCUUUUUGGCAACAUCAAAAAGAAGGCGAACUAAGAAGGAAGCAACUGCGAAGGAAGUUCGCAGAGGAAGAUAUUGGGGUAUUGGGGAUGCAGAAGGCGAAGGCUUAGAAGGAGGUUAGGAAGAAGAAAGAAAUGACGAGGAAGAAAAGAAGAGAAGCAGAGGGUUGAGGGUGAGGGGUUGUCAAUCAGGAGAUGUGAGGUCUCACUGUUGACAUAGCGCCGGUUGACAAUGAGUUCCUGCUCAUUGUUGUUCUCCGCAUGGCUCCACAAAAGCGAGAGGCCUUUCGUGAAGACGAUGAAGUCUGUCCUAUUUCAGACAGGUACUUCAAACCGAUGCACCGGGCAUGAGGAUAGAAGACACUCGCUUCGCUGGAUACAAGUGAGGGUAGAGCAAACUUUGACGCCGGAGAGACGUUGAGAUCCAGUGGAAGGGUCCGGUGAAGACCAGGUGUGUGAGCGUCAUUCUUCCACUCCAUGACUUUGCAGUCAUAGAUUUCUCCUUUAGUCGGAACAAUUUUUCUCUGCAACUUUUGGAAAGAUUGAAAAUUUUUCUCACAGUGAAGGCUGUGGAGAGUUGUUAGUUGAUGCAGAAAAAUCGUGAAGACAGCAUGGUAUAAAUAGACAAGAUUUAAACCAUGUGAGAAGAUGAAAGGUUUUUCGAAAAUUGUGCCUAAAAUGCAAUUUUAAGAGAAAACUCGCGUCCGCCGUCACUGCGAAGGACCGCGUCUUCAAAAAGUUGAAAGGCAUCAUUACAUUCUGUCAUGUCAAUGAGAUUUUCAAGAAAUUUUAUUGCAGAGGCAAAAAGGUUGGAAAGAUUUUUGGCAAAAAGAUCAGGACAAGUUCAAUCAAAACAGAUUUACACUUAAUAAAAAUCUUGUCCUUCUCGGAUAUUCCAUUUUCCAACAAUUUCCAACAAUUAGUUAAAGUUUUUGAAAGAAAGUGAUCAGUUAGAGAAAAGAUUUUGAACUAAAAACUUAAAGCUCUUAACUGAAAUAACUGAUUUUGAAAGGUAAGCAUUUAAAAUACUUACUGAUCAACUGAACAUCGUAGUCAGUUGAUACCACUUGAUCCUGGUUGUUUUCAUCAGGAUGACUUCUUCUUCAGAUGAGCAAUCGGACUUCAUUGCUUUCCACGUUGGCGAUCGUUGAAUCAGCAGUUGGUUGACCACCAGUCAGCAAGACUGUUUGAGAAGAUCUUCAAACACAGCAUCACUCUUCAGGGUUGAUGAGGCCGAUCUCUGCACAUAGACCAUUGAACCUCUCUUCUGGAAGAGCCUUGGUCAGCAGGUCCGCUCUCUGAAAAGCAGUGGGAAUCCAUUCCACAGAGACAUUCUUCUUUUCGACAUGAUCACGAAUGAAGUGAUGUCGAAUCUCAAUAUGCUUUACUCUGGUGUGGUGAACUGGAUUAUGGGAGAUUGCAAUAGCACUGGAGCUGUCGCAAUAGAUAGGAACUUCCUUUUCGUCGAUCCCAUAGUCCUUUAGUUGAUGGACUAACCACAGGAUUUGUGAGCAGCAGCUUCCGGCAGCAACAUAUUCAGCUUCAGUUGUAGAGGUGGCGACUGAAGUCUGCUUCUUUGAAAACCAAGAAAUGAGCUUGUUGCCUAGGAAUUGACAUGUUCCGGAGGUUGAUUUGCGAUCAAGCUUGCAUCCACCGAAGUCUGAAUCUGAAUAUCCGGUGAGCUUGAUGUCGUCGUCUGCUGGAUACCACAAUCCUAAAUUGGGCGUGCCUUUGAGAUAUCUCAGAAUCCGCUUUGCUGCAUCCAAAUGAGCGUCCUUAGGAUCUGAUUGAUAUCUUGCACAUACCCCGACUGCAAAUACGAUAUCUGGUCUGCUCGCAGUCAAAUACAGCAAAGAUCUAAUGAUUCUGCGUUUCAAGAAAUUUUAUUGCAGAGGCAAAAAGGUUGGAAGAUUUUUUGGCAAAAAGAUCAGGACAAGUUCAAUCAAAACAGAUUUCACUUAUAAAAAUCUUGUCCUAUUCGGAUAUUCCAUUUCCAACAAUUUCAAAAUCAGUUAAAGUUUUUGAAAGAAACUGAUCAGUUAGAGAAAAGAUUUUGAAUAAAAACUUAAAGCUCUAACUGAAAUAACUGAUUUUGAAAAGGUAAGCAUUUUAAAAUACUUACUGAUCAACUGAACAUGUAGUCAGUUGAUACCACUGAUCCUGGUGUUUCAUCAGGAUGACUUCUCUUCAGAUGAGCAUGGACUUCAUUGCUUUACGUGCGAUCGUGAACAGCAGUUGGUUGACCACCAGUCACAGACUUUGAGAAAUCUUCAAACACAGCAUCACUCUCAGGGUUGAUGAGGUCCAUCUUGCACAAGAAUCUUGAACCUCUCUUUGGAAGAGCCUUGGUCAGCAGGUCCGCUCUACUGAAAUAGCAGUGGGAAUCCAUUCCACAGAGACAUUCUUCUUUUCGACAUGAUCACGAAUGAAGUGAUGUCGAAUCUCAAUAUGUUUGACUCUGUGUGAUGAACUGGAUUCUGGAGAUUGCAAUAGCACUGGAGCUGUCGCAAUAGAUAGGAACUUCCUUUUCUCGAUCCCAUAGUCCUUUAGUUGAUGGACUAACCACAGGAUUUGUGAGCAGCAGCUUCGGCAGCAACAUAUUCAGCUUCAGUUGUAGAGGUGGCGACUGAAGUCGUUCUUGAAAACCAAGAGAUGAGCUUGUUCCUAGGAAUUGACAUGUUCCGGAGGUUGAUUUGCGAUCAAGCUUGCAUCCACCGAAGUCGGAGUCUGAAAAUCCGGUGAGCUUGAUGUCGUCUCUGCUGGGUACCAAAUCCUAAAUUGGGUGUGCCCUUGAGAUAUCUCAGAAUCCGCUUAGCUGCAUCAAAUGAGCUUCCUUAGGAUCUGAUUGAUAUCUUGCACAAACCCCGACUGACAAAUGCGAUAUCUGGUCUGCUCGCAGUCAAAUACAGACAAAAUCCAAUGAUUUCUCUGUACUUCUUCGAAGAGACAGAGCUUCCUUCUGAACCUGGAUCAACUUUCCAGUUUGUGUUCAUUGGGAUCUUGACUGAUUCAUGUGCUGAAUACCGAACUUAGCUAUCAGCUCCUUGGCAUACUUGGACUGGCUGAUCAGUAUUCCUUCUUUGGUCUGCUUGACUUGCAAUCCGAGAAAGAAAUUCAUUUCUCCCAUCAUGGACAUUUGGAAUUUGUUCGUCAUGAUGUCAGCAAACUUAUUGCACAUGCGUUCGGAUUUGGAUCCGAAGAUUAUGUCAUCGACAUAAAUUUGAACAAGCAAGAGAUCUUCUCCUUCUUUGAGAGUGAACAAAGUUCUGUCCACAGAUCCCUUUUUGAAGCCUUGUUCAACCAGAUACUCCGAGAGAGUAUCAUACCACGCUCUUGGUGCUUGCUUCAACCCAUAGAGUGCUUUCUUCAGCUUGUACACCUUUUCUGGUCCAGCAACCUCAAAUCCAGGAGGUUGUUCUACAUAGACUUCAUCUAUGAGCACUCCAUUAAGAAAUAGCACACUUGACAUCCAUUUGGUGUACCUUGAAACCUUUGUGAGCUGCGAAGGCUAAGAAGAGUCUGACUGCUUCCAAUCUGGCAACUGGGGCGAAUGUCUCGUCGUAGUCGAUUCCUUCUUCUUGACUGUAUCCUUUAGCCACAAGCCUUGCUUUGUUUCUCACAACGUUUCCUUCUUCGUCUUCCUUGUUCUUGAAAAUCCAUUUCAAGCCAAUCACCUUUGCAUCGUCUGGUCGAUCCACAAGCUCCCAAACUGAAUUCCGGUUGAAUUCAUUGAGUUCCUCUAGCAUUGCGAUGACCCAUUCAUUGGACUUCAGAGCUUCUUCAAUAUCCUUGGGCUCUGUAGUUGAUAAGAAACAGCUGAAAUUCUUAUCUUCGUUGAUGCAGUUCUGGUUGAUGUCGAAGACGAGGUUGCACAUUGAUCUCCGAGUCUUGACGCCAUCUGAUGGUUCUCCAAUGAUGUUCUCCUUAGAGUGGAGUUCAAACCAUCUUCGAUACUUCUUGAUCUCUUCAGGGGAUGGUGGAGCUUCUUCGGUCAGAAUAGCUCUGGGAUGUUGAGCACCUUCUGGAGCAGGGGUGAGUUGAGCUGGGGCGGCUUCUGCGCGUUCAACUUGAACUUCAGCAACUGGAGUUCCCCCUUGACUGAUGCCAUCUGUAUUGGCUCCAGUCUGGACUUCAGACCGUUGGUUGAUCUUCUGAUACUGAAGCAUCUCAGCAUCUUCAUCUUUGCCAGGUCCCCACACCAAGACAGUAGAGGGCUCGACAGUGUGGAUUUCAGCUUUGGAACCUUCCGUGAUCUGAACACCCUUUUCAGCAUCUUGUUCCCUGAAACCAUCUGUAGACUCAUCAAAGAUCACAUGAGGUGUUUCUUCUACACAAAUAGUUUGAGUAUUGAACACUCGAUAGGCUUUGCUUGAACGUUCUGUUCCAGAGUAUCCAAGGAAGACUCCUGGAUCAGCCUUGCUAUCGAAGGUGUUCAACCUCUUCUUAUCAUUGUUGUGUAUGAAACACUUAUAACCGAAAGCAUGAAAGUAGGCAAUCGAUGGCACUACAAGAAAAAUGAGUAUACAUGACACUGCAUACAUGACUCUUUUUAUGAAAAAGCGUCAUGUAUGAGCGCCUUUUUGGUAUACAUGAUGCUUUUUAAAAAAAAUGUCAUGUAUGCAGUGUCAUGUAUAGAAUACAUGACAUUGCGCUGACACUUUUAGUAAAAGCGUCAUGUAUGAGCGUCGUUUAUUCAUAGUAUACAUGACAUUUAUUUCAAAGCGUCAUGUAUGUGCGUUAAUUUAAAUGCUAUACAUGACAUUUAUUCAAAAUGUCAUGUAUUUGAUUGAAAAAACUGUCAUUAAUUGUAAUAUUCUUGACAUUUGGUGCAUAACGUCAACUAUAUUUAUAACAAGUGUCAUAUAUCCGUUAAUUUAAUUUCUCUAUGUAUAUCAUUAUAAAAUCGUCAUUAGUUACAUUAUUCUUGAUACAAAUUUAAAGCGUUAAGAAGUUGUAAAAAAACUGUCAUAUAUUUUUCUUAAAUGCAAUUUUUUGAAGAAAAAAAUAAUUAAAAACAUUGCACUUUUGUGAAGUAAAAACUGAAAUGACAAUGAAAAAUGAUUGAACUGUUGACUUUUUCCAUUAAAAUCAUGCUCAACCAACUGACAACAAGAUCUAGAAUAAAAUAAAAAAGGCACACAAUAAUAAUAAUAAUAAUAAUAAUAAUAAUAAUAUUAUUAUUAUUAUUAAAUAAAAUAUCAAUAAACAAUUAUUCAUUUUUAAAAAUUCAUUUAAAUAAGUAUAAGUAAACUAAAGUUUAAUUGUUAAGUUUGCUCCUCAUUUCCCAAACCCAGAAUCCCCACCCUCCUCUCCGGCUCUCCCCAUUACAGCCUCUGCCCGCCGCCUCUCUCCCUCACUUCUCACACUCAUGGCGGCUGCACGCCUCACGCCUCACGCCUGAGAAUUCAUCGGCGCCGCCACAGAAACUGGUGCUCGCUGCAGCCUCACGCGAGCAGAGCAGAGGCAGCAGCAUCCCGUGACCCUCAUCUCGCCGCUCUCCAGACAACUCCAGCCUCUCGUCGCCCUCAUCUCUUCGGUGUCUAGGAUCGCCGUCGGCCGUCGCGCUCGCCGCCUCCAUGACUCCAUCCUCCAGUUCACGAAUUAAGGUAAAAUCCUAGUUACUUAGGGCUCGAUUUGGCUGCAUAGAUGUUCUAUUUACCUAGGGCUCAAUUUGGCAGCAUAGAUGUUCUAUUUACCUAGGGCUCGAAAGAGCAGUGCCCUCUUUAUCCUAUUUUGAUUAAACAAUUGUCAUUACAGGUAAACAUGAUCUCCGAAAACUAUCAUUUAUACAAGUCGGCCAAAGAUACCUACAGAUCUUACAUUCUCGCUUACAAUUCAUACUCUAUGAAGGACAUCUUUAAUGUUCACAGGCUUGAUCUACAUGUACUUCAUUCAUAUUCUUCUAACUGAAACAUCUAUCAUGCAUAUCCCAAAUAAAUGUAUUGUGGUGAUGUCUGUCAUUAGUUAGAAAUUGCUUGUAAGAUAAAACUUUGCGGUCGUUUUAAUGAGGCUCGGCCCUUAGUCUGCUUUUCCUGUGCUUUCAAGGGUUCUUUUUAGGUUUUUUCUUUUUCCUUUUUAAUAAAAAUCGCAGUUUAAUUAAUAAAACUUUGCGGUGAUGUCUGGGAAGUAAUUUGAUUUGUGUGUAUAUUUAUAACUCAACAUCUAUGUCCUAACUUUGGUUUCUUUUUAGCUGUAUCUAUGUAGCUUAAGCUUUAAUAACAGAAAUUAGACUCUAGAUAUAUACCUAUACAACAUACCCAUACUGUUUUCCUCAUAUAUAUUAGCUUAAAUCUGGUCCAUCUAAUCAAUCCAGAAGAAAUGCACAAUCGUAUAAAAAAACUAUACAGUUGGCAUGAUGUUGCCAAAAGGACUGGGAUUGUGUACGGUCGUGUUUUUAAAUGCUCCAAUCAGUCUCUCAUAGAUCGUUUACCCAGGUACCUAUCUUGUGGUGCAUGGGCAGGCAAGCUCUUCUGCUUGGUCAUGAUAAUCGAUUUUCUGUUAUUGCGUCUACUCCAACUGUGGCAGCCUGAUAGGAACAUCGAGGUUGUGCCCGACUUUAAUCUCACAAGUCUUCAUGGUGGAGAAGAGAAGUGGGAUUUGGGAGCAGAUGAGAAAUAGAGGUACUCACUGGUAAGAACAAAGUAAGCACAUUAUCUUUUUACUUCUUUCUUUUUCUCUUUACCAUUUUGGGAUAGAAUACUAGUAGGUAAUCUCUGUCAUUGCUGCCAUUUGAGCACUUUUUUAGCUUAGCUUAUUGUUAAUUUGAAAUGCCUGUGCGUAGGUUUAGAAAUUAUAUACAAUACCAUCUACUUAUCCUAAGAGUUUUGGAAGAUAAAUUUCUGGUAUUAAAAAAAAAAUCAAACAGAAGUUGCGGCUCUCUCUCUCUCUAUAUAUAUAUAUAUGAACAACCACAUUGAGAAUCAUAUAGCUUCAUCGAAUGGUUGAGCAUUGUCAUUUGUCACAGUUGUUUGUGUUUUCUUCUGUGCGAUUAACUGAAGCUGAUAAUGUAAUAAAAUCUGCUGAGCUAAUUCUUCCUUAUGUGAUACCAGAUAUGAUCUGCAGAAAAUGGUUAUGUCUUCCUCAGACAAACACAAAAGACUGAAUAACUGUGUGCCUUAUAAUAUAGGGCUUAAAACAUGUGUACCAUAUUUAUUCUCUGAUUUUAGCUUACAAACAUUUGUUCGUGUUUAUUAUUUAUUGAGUUUAACUUCCCAUAUUCGAACUAUUUGGCUGCAGAAAAUUAUAAUUAUGUUAGAAUUAGUUCUGUAGAGAAUGUUUCCGUGCCACUAUGAUUUUCUUUCCAGUGCUCAUGAUCUAAUGAUUGAUCAAAAGUUUUUGACAUUAACUAUAAUCUUGUAUUACAAAUUCUUCAUUCGUGCCCCGAGUACUGUUGGAUUCAUUUAUUAGGAGAGUCAUUUUCCAAAUCCCUGAUAUUUGUGAUCUUAUAUUUUGGUCAUAUCUCAUGUUCAUCUAAUUCGGUUAUCUCUCUGUCAUGAUGGACAAGAAUCAUUAGUAGUAAGCUCCGAGAAGAGGUCGGCUCAGAGAAAACUAGAGCUAAAAUGGGACAAACUCAGGUCAUGAAAAUGAUAAAGAAAACAUGCAUUAGAGCCAACAACUAUUUUUAGCCCCUCAGCCAGCUUGUUAGAGGAAAAGGAGCUUUAUAUGGUAAUAGAAAAGGUAGGGAGAACCUUCUGUAUGCCGCUGAUGCUGCUGAGAAUUUCAGUGAAAGAUAACAAUUUCUUUUCUUUGAUGGUGGAAUUUAUACAAGGUACUUUUCAUACAAAAGAUAUGGCUUUUCACUAAUUGGCUGUCUUUUCUUUUUAUUAUGCCAUCAGAGAAUUGGAAAUUAUCAGUUUCCAUUCCAUAUUAUGUUGAUAAAAGAUCUCAAUAUAGAUUUUAGACUAUUUCCAUCAGGUAUAUGCAGCCCGAUGCUUGUUGAACUUUGAUGCGAAUCAUGUAAUUUAGCAUUUCAUUUUACUCGAGUUUUUAAUUAUCUAAGCCUCUGCCAUGUCUAAUAUUUGUAAUUGCAGAAGGGUGAGUUACUUGGUAAUGAGAACAUUAAUAGAGCUAUAAUGUGGAAGAAAGAAGACCUAAAGAAAGCAAGGUGAAAUGAAGACUUAAAGAAAGCAAGGUGGGAGCGUUGAGAAUGAAGACUUGUACGUAGCUUUUUGUAUGGAUGUUGGAGAUGUUGUAUAAUAAUAGAUCUUUUGUGGAUGUUGGAUAGUUGAUUAUUAUCAAUGAUUAAAUGACAUUUCCAAUAUGUGUGAAUUUGUUAUUUUAUUCUAUUUAAUGAUAUUUAUAAAUUUAAAAUAGAAAAAAAUAAAUAAAAUAGGAAAAAAUAUAUUUUAAAUUCUGAAAGAUCAUAGAUGACAGUUCUUGAAAUGUCAUAUAUGGUAUCUAACUUUGACAAUUUUUCUCCCAAAGAUGACGGUUGAAAAGUGUCAAGUAUAUACAUAGAAAUGUCAUGAAAACCUACAUACAUGACGGUGAGAAAGUGUCAAAUAUAUACCAAUAACCGUCAUGUAUUAUAUUUUACUUGACGGUCCGAAAACGUCAAGAAAAAUAUUAUGAGUGUCAAGUAUUGCAUAAUAGUUGACGGUUACAAACCGUCAUAUAUACAUACAUAACCGUCAAGAAUAAUGAGAAUAGAUGACGGUUAAAAACCGUCAUCUAUACUAGGUACUAUACAUGACACCACUAUACUUGACGGUCGACGGAUAUCAUAGAUGACGGUGAAAAACCGUCAAGUAUGAGCGAAUUUCUUGUAGUGUGGCUUUCUGUUCUUCCAUAACUCGUAUGGAGUUCUUCCAUGUCUCUGAGUGAGGAAGGAGCGAUUCUGCGUGUAGCAUGCGUUGUUGACUGCUUCGGCCCAAAACUUCAAGGGGAGUUUUGACUCGGCUAGCAUCGUCCUGGCUGCUUCCUUUAGAGAUCGGUUUCUUCUUUCUGCAACUCCAUUCUGCUGUGGAGUUCUUGCUGCAGAAGUUUGAUGAUUGAUUCCUUGUUCAUCACAAUACUCACGAAUGACAGUAUUGAGGAACUCAGUCCCACGAUCUGAUUGAUGCUGAUGAUGUUGACUUCCUUUUCAACGCUCAGUCUUCUCAGCAGCUUUGGCAGUUCCUCCAGUGUCUCCUUCUUUUUGAAGAGAAAGAUAACCCAAGUAUAUCGUGAAUAAUCAUCCAAAACUACCAAGGUGUACUUCCUACCGUUGUAGCUUCUUGGAGUGAUCGGGCCAAACAGAUCCAUGUGAAGUAGAUGUAGAAUCCUUCCAGAGGAGUGUCCUAUCUUUGACUUUAAUGACGUCCGCGUCUGCUUUCCUCUGAGGCAUGCUUCACAUUCUUGCUUCUUCUGGAAUACAAUAGAAGGAAGACCUUCUACCAGUUGAUGUUUAGCAAGUUUGUUGAUCGUCUUGAAGUUGAGAUGGUUGAGUCUCUUGUGCCAUAGCCAAUUGAGCUCCGAGCUGCUCUUGCUGAUGAGGCACGUUUCUGGUGGGCUGUCUUCCCAAGAAACGGCGUAGAGACUCCCUUGUCUGAAUCCCUUCAGAACCACCUUCUUCUGAUUGUUUCUAACAGUGAAUUCAUCCUUUUUGAUUUUCACUGUGAAACCACUGUCACAAAAUUGACUCACAGACAACAGAUUAUGUUUAAGACCAGAAACAAAGCUAACAUUACUGAUACUGGCGUUACCCAUGUUGAGCACACCGUAGCCUUUCGUUUCUCCAAUCGAGUUGUCUCCGAAUGCAACUUUGGAUCCAGCUUUCUCAACAUACUGGGAUAGAUAUUAUUUGUAGCCCGUCAUAUGCUUCGAACAGCCACUGUCCAGAUACCACAUUCUGAUUGAAGCUUUGGCCUCUUCCUUCUUUUUAUGUUUCCUGACAUUGACCUGCAAGGAAGAGUUGCUUCAGGCACCCAAUCAAACUUUGGGUCCUUCAAUGUUAGUUCGAGUUCCCUUUGGAACCCAAAUCUGCUUCAGAAUUGGUCUGGCUGAUCUUUUGCGCUUUGUUGGAUGUCUGAUCGAUGUCGUUGGCGCUUCAGGUGGCACUUGAGCAUUCUUCUGUUGAGAAAUCCUUUUGAAGGCCUCACUCUUGUAGCAGUUCUGUCUGAUGAGUGGUUGAGGUCUUCUUUGCUCGGUGAAGUAUCUUCCUUGAGAUACUUUAGUCUUUGCAGACUUAUGGAGAUUUGUCUGUCGUCCAGUGGCUUGUCGUCGAGGAAUUGGCAUGGCUCGACUGGACUCAGCAUUGCUAGAUCUCCAUGGAUGUUGUUCAUUUUGAAACUGAACUGAGGAUGUCAGUUUCUGACUGUAGGGGGUGAAUCCGACAAUUACGGAAGUGACGUCAGUCACGUCAGGAUCGACGGGCACUAGCAACCUGAGACCACAAGUAACGUUAGAGCCCUCCGAAGAGCACCGGUGGGGGUGUCGAUGGAAGGGCCUCCGACGCUCAAGUCAGUGAACGGAUAUAAGUAAUAAAUGUAAAUAACGUAACUAAAAUAAAUGAUAAAGAGAAGAUAGUAGUAAGCGAUGUAUCCGGAAGACCGGGGUGUUCAGGAGGUUGAAUUAAAGCUAGUGAGCGACGUGGAAUGAGGGGCGACGGACGUCCGGGCUAGCGGGGCUAGCGGGGCGAUCGGAACCCUAGAAUGUUGUGAGCGUGGAGGCGGAACGAAAGAGCGGGGAGAGCGGGAGAUAACAAGAGUGAGAGAUCGUGUGUAAGUGCAAGAGUGGAUACGAGUGAUUGUCGAUGUUCUGAUUGUGUUAGUGAAUUAGUAUAUGUAGGUUACGGACCUACGGGCAGGCGGCUAGGGUUAGAGUUUUGCUAGCAUACCCGUUGCAACCCUAGCAGUUCCGACUUCUUAGGAAACGACCUCCCGCGACUCUCGUCCGACUUGAUCGCCAAGCAACUGCCGCGUUUAGGGUUUCCUUGGGCGAAUUUAUGUAUCUUCCGCAUAUAGGCUUGACUUUGGGCUUUGUGCUAUGAGUGUCGUAUGGGCCGUUUUAUCGGACUAGCCCGUUGGGCCUUAUAAUUUUUACUAAUUGGACUAUUACGAAUUUUGUCCACUACAGUUUGUCCCCCACUCUCUAGUUGGAAUUAAUCCAACUUGAGAGUAUGACUCAUUUUCAUUUGAUAAAUCGAGUUUACAAGAGAAGUAUUUUGAGCAAAUAAUCUGGUGCAUUUUGCAUACAUUCAAUUUACACUUAUAUAUACAUAUAUAUUAUAUAUACAUAUAUAUAUAUAUAUAAUAAGAAUAAAUGAAUGAUUUACUCAAGGAUAAAGGAAUGAUUUGCUCAAAUUAUAAAACUUUUGUAAAAGUGGCUGAUUUCUCAAAUGUAGUCAUUUAUUGUGGACCCCACUAAAUAUUUAAACAACUCUUACCUUAGCAAAUAUCGGUGAGAAAGGUAUAGUAUUUGGGGAUGACCCGAUUUUUUUUUUUUUUUGUGGGCCCUUUCAGGAAUGCAUAUGGCCUAAUAGUGACAUGGGAAAUUGGAAUAUACGUAGUGUGCAGGAUGUGUGUAACCACUUUUGCUUAGUCACUAAUAUAUUAUAUAAAUAUAUUUGACUUUAUAUUUCUGCAUGCCAUAUGUUGAUAAAGUAAAAAGGGGGGCAUGCAGGGAGCAGGAAAUUACUAUUUUCAAGACAGAGAAAAAUUGGGGGUGAUACAGGACUGCAUGGAGUUCUCACUCUUUCUCAUUUUUUGCUUUUAGGUGGGCCCACUAGAGUAACACAUAGUUUAACGUAGGAAAUUACAUGAAGUGUCGGACUUGUAGGACGUUCAGGGUGUCUUUGAAUUCGUGGUAUUUUAUCUUUGUGUUUGCAUCAUUUAUUUUUUUUUCUUUCUUGUGGGACCACUGGAGAAGCAUGCCACCUAAGAAGAUGUAGUACAGGUGGUGGAGUGAGGAGUAUGCAUGUGGUGCGGGAAGAUACGACUCUUCUACUUCACUGCUUACAUAAGGAAAGUUCCUCUGACAUUGCUUCUCAAAAAAUGUUGGUGCUACAGCUAAUAUAUGUACGAUUAAUCAGUCGCGAAUUGAAAGCUCACGAAUUGAGUGUAGAAUAUUUGUACCUGAGUUUGUAUUAGCUGAAUUUGAAUUUACGUUUUCGGGUCCGUUUUUUACUUCAGUUUCCUACUUUAUAUAAUGGGGAGUUUGUCUCCCAUUCUAUCACAAAAAAUUCGACCAUUUGAAUGUUGGAGUUUUGGAGAAAGGAGGAGUAGAGAGAAGAUUUUUGGGAGAGUUUUGGAGGUUGGUUUUUUCUCUCCACUUUCUUCGAAUGUUCUUCAAAUGUUCUUUAAAUAUUCUAAGCAUGUGGUUUUUGUUGUAUUGUGCCUUUGGAUGACUUUGAUUAUUCGUUUGUAGAAAUAGUGUUUGAUCCAUGCCAUCUAUUUUUAAAUGCGUUUUUUAUGUUUGUAGAAUCAUGUAGAAAAAUUUUCUAAGUAUAAAUGAUAGUGUAGAGCUUGCUUAUGCGGGUGCUUCGGGUUGAUACGGUUGAACACUUAGUGCGUAGAUGACGUUCCUUUGAAUAUUUAUGUAAUUACUUCGUAUCUUUGUGAUGUUAUGGGUGUCGUCCUUUAUAUAAAUUGCUUCAAUAUGCAUGUAGCUAAGUGGGUGACUCGCGAUCGGGCGAAUCGGUCUAUUGAACUUCGUAUUAUUUAUUUUUUGCAACUAUGUCGUCGGGUGAUCGGGGUAAUACGUCUAUUUGAACUUUUAGAAUUUAUCAUGUUCUAGGAUACCCGCGUGCUAUGUUGGGUAAUCGGGGAGGUUCGGUUGGUUCAUCGAGUAGGACUCAGCACCUGUCUGAGGAUAUAGAUUAUUGUGUUGACGAACACGCGGACGUCCCGGAUCGAGAGAUAGAAGUUUGGCAAGGUAAUUACGGUAGUUACGAUGAUGGAGGUGGUUUCGGAGUUCACAGUGAAGGGCUUAUCCCAGGGGCGGUGCCAAUGAUGGCGUUCCUCACUAACGGUAAUCCCGAGUCAUUCUUCAAAGACACGCGGCAACUACACGUCCUUCGGAAGUCCUACAGUAUUCCGGAUCAUGUCGCUCUUCAUGCUCCGGGUAGGCAAAUGCGAGCAAAUUUCCAUGCUCCAGGAUGGGUGUGCUUGUAUCAAGCACCGUUCGAACAGGGAAUGCGGCUUCCUCUACCCCGCUUGGUUGUUGAUUUUUGCCAUUAUCAUUGCCUCUCGCCCGGGCAACUUACGCCAAACUCUUGGCGUUUGUUAUUGAGUUUACAGGUGUUCAGUGAGUUACAUGGCUUCGACAUCUCCAUCGCCGAUGUAAAGAACACUUAUGAUCUUCUGAAUGUUCCAAAGGACAAAGGUCGUUACAAGUUAUGUAGGAAGAAAGGUUGUGAGCCUUUGAUUACGGACAUGGACGAUGGUGAAAGGGCUUGGAAGAGUAAAUAUUUUUUCGUUGAAUACGGUGCUUUGUGUAUUCCGGAAGGGAAGAGAGUUCCUUCUGUUUGGUCUAAUCCUAGUGAGUGUUAGAAUUGGUGGAGUCUUUCAUGCUUCUCAUUCUCCUCUUUAUGCUAUUCUUUCUAACACUUUGAUUAUCUUUGUGUGCAGGUUGUUUGAAAACUAUUCCUGUAGUGUUGAAUUUGGUUGAAAGGAACAACCGGUUUCUUCAAUACCCUCCUCCAUAUCGGAGUUGGAGGGUUAUUCUUCACGAUUUGAACAUUAAGCAGUCGUCGAUUUGGGCUCAAGUCCCUGCUCCUCCGGAAGGUACAUUCAUCCCUAAAACUCUUGCUGAAACUAGUGUCGUGGUAGGUCUCCGCUCUUUGGAAAUUUUGCGGGUGAAACAGGCUUAUAAAAAUUUGACUGAACUGACCCCGGAGCAACGAGUAUAUGCAGACGGUUGGAUGGCUGAAUUGAAGUUCCACUAUAAUCCGAAUGAGGUCGACACUGACGCCUUCGUGGCGAGACAACUGAAGAGGAAGAAGAAGAAGCAGGCAUCAAGCUCGAGUGUGCCAACAGAGCUGCCUAUUGCGACUGAUGCUCCGCGAUCUGACGUCCUUUCCGGUCGCUCCUCACGGAAAGGACUCCCACCCUGAUGAUGGUUGCUUAUCCGAUGGUUCUGUUCGUAGUUUGCCUGUUGGUGCUCGGCUCAUACCGAGUCAACGCGCUGUCAGGUCAGCUCGAAAAGCUUUACUUGAGGAGGACGAGCUGUUUUGAAUAACUAUGGGAGGAUGAAGCCUAUGACGUGUUCGCCUCUUCGGCUUUCGCGGUAAUAAAACUUGUCUUUUGUUUUUAUUUUCCCUUUGACAUGUUAUGCUUUUUUGACUAACUUGUGGUAUUUUGAUCUUCUUGUAGCAUAUCACAUGCUAUCUUUAUGAAGCAGGCUAGGCUUGAGCACAAACGGCAAUACAGGAUGUUCGUGCUGCUAAGGCUAGGAUAGAGAGUGAGCUUGUGGAAGCUCAGGAGUUGGUCAAGCGAGGCCAGGCAGACCGGAGUCUCUGGAAGCGUCUCUUCGGGCUCAAUUAGCUUUGAAAGAUGAGGAAAUCAGUCGUCUGAAGGCUGAACUAUCGGAGAUGGAGGCGAAUCGCGAUCUGGAGCUUUUCGAUGCUUGCCAUGAAGCUGUGCUCAAGUCCCGGGCUGAUAUGAGUCAGGAGGUCUUGGAUGGGACUUACAAGACUUGGGACAAUGCGGAGAACAUUCGAAAGUGGAAAGCUUAUCAAGACAAACUCAAUGGGGGUGGCCAACGUUGUGAGCGACGAUUGAUGUUGUUCCUUCCUUUAUUUCUGCUUUGGUUGGGCGUAUGUGCCCUUAAUAUUUGAUGUGUAAUUUAGGCAUUCGUGCCUUCAGACUUUGUUAAUUUUGCAUAGGGCGUAUGUAUCCUUGGAUUCUUACUAGUUUAAGUCUACGCAUUGGGCUGGACUUAAACUUUUUAUUGUAUUUACGGGAUGAUUUUUCGGAGUGUCCGGAUCGCCGGGGGGUUUGCCCCUUGGAUCGGCUAUAUAUGACUGUUUUAUAUUCGAGUGUUUGUAUAUUUACCUAUUCGGACUUAGCUGCUGAACCAAGACAGUAGUGUGAUGCAAGUCUCAGGGCUGCGCAGUUGCAGCUCAGCUCUGCCGGGCAGAGCUGGGCUGGAUGGUGGAAUGCUUCCGAGCAGGGCUGCGUUGGGCAAUCGAGCACUGUCGGGUAGGGCCGAGCUGGACAAGAAUAUUUUUCCCCCUAUGUUUCCCCCCAUUUAGACUUAGUUAUUUAAACUUAAGGCUAAAUUCAGGACGUUCAGGGUAAGACGGGUGUGCGCCUUUGACCUGAAAAUUUUUCUCCCCCAUUUAGACUUAGUUGUUUAAACUUAAGGCUAAAUUCAGGACGUUCAGGGUAAGACGGGCGUGCGCCUUUGACAUAGAAAAAUUUUCUUCCCUCCUUUGGAGACUCUAGGUGGUAAACUUAAGGCUAAUGCAGGAUGUCGCGGGUAGACGGGCGACGCCUUUGACAUGAAAAAUUUCACCACAUUUAGACUUAGNGGGACUAACGGCUCUUCUAAAGUGGAAAAGAGUUGAAGAGUGUUGGCCCUUACGGGACUAACGGCUCUUCUAAAGUGGAAGAGAGUUGAAGGGUGUUUGGUUCUUGGGUCUGGUUACGGCUCUUCCAUAGUGAAAGAGAGUUGGAGGGUGUUGGGUCUUACGGCUCUUACGGCUCUUAUAUAGUGAAAGAGAGUUGGAGAGUAUUGGGUCUUACGGCUCUUACGGCUCUUACAUAGUGAAAGAGAGUUGAAAGGUGUUGGGUCUUACGGCUCUUCCAUAGUGAAGUAGAGUAGGUGUCGUCGGAUCCUACGGGACCGACGGCUCUUCCAUAGUGGAAGCGAAGUGGGAGUCGUCGGGUCUACGGGACCGACGGCUCUUCCAUAUGAAGCAAGGUGGGAGUCGUCGGGUCACGGGACCGACGGCUCUUCCAUAUUGAAGCAAGGUGGGAGUCGUCGGGUUCUACGGGACCGACGGCUCUUCCAUAUGAAGCAGAGGUGGGAGUCGUCGGGUCCUACGGGACCGACGGCUCUUCCAAAGUGAAGCAAGUGAAAGUAGUCGGGUCCUACGGGACCGACGGCUCUUCCAAAGUGAAGCAAAGUGGCAGGUGCCAUUUAUGCCAGUUAAUGUAAUAUUUAUGUAUUUGUGGAUGUAUGUCUUUUUAUCAAUUGUAGUGGAGCGAAAAUUUUGAAAUCCGCCCACAAUGCCUUUACGUUUUUUACUCUUCUAUAUAGUGGGGAACUUGUCCCCCAUUCUCCCACACCAAGUAAUAGAGAUCUUUGGGAGCAUUUGGAUUUUGGGGCUCUUGGAAAAGGAGUAGAGAGAAGAUAUUUGGAGAGCUUUAGAGGUUGGUUUUUCUUUUUCUCUCUACCUUCUUGAAUGUUCUUUACAUGUUCUAGCAUGGAUACUUAUAAUUCUUGUGUAUUGUGCUUUUGAAUGACUUGAUUAUUCGUUUGUAGAAAUAGUGUUUGAUCCAUGCAGCAGUUUUACAGCAUUCUUCUAUGUUUGUAGACUCAUGUAGAAAUUUUUCUAAGUAUAAUUGGGAGUGUAGGGCUUGCUUAUGCGGGUGCUUCGGGUUGAUACGGUUGAACACUUAGUGCGUAGAUGACGCCCCUUGGAAUGUUUAUGUAAUCACUUCGUAUCUUCGUGGUAUUAUGGGUGUCGGUCCUUUACAUAAAUUGCUCAAGUACGCACGUAGCUAAGCGGGUAGCUUGCGAUCGGGCGACCGGUCUUAUCGAACUUCAUUUUAUUUAUUUUUUGCAACUAUGUCGUCGGGUGAUCGGGGUAAUACGUUUAUUUGAACUUUUAGAAUUUAUCCUGUUCUAGGAUAUCCGCGUGCUAUGUUGGGUAAUCGGGGAGGUUCGGUUGGUUCAUCGAGUAGGUGCAGCUCCCGUCUGAUGAUAUAGACUAUUGUGCUGACGAGAGCGCGGACAUCCCGGAUCGAGAGAUAGAAGUUUGGCAGGGUGAUCACGGUAGUUACGAUGGUGGUGUGGUUUUGGAGUUCACAGUGAAGGGCUUAUUCCAGGGGCGGUGCCAGUGAUGUCGUUCCUCAUUAACGGUAAUCCCGAGUCAUUCUUCAAGGACACGCGGCAACUACACGUCCUUCGGAAGUCCUACAGUAUUCCGAAUCAUGUCGCUCUUCAUGCUCCGGGUAGGCAAAUGCGAGCAAAUUUCCAUGCUCCAGGAUGGGUGUGUUUGUAUCAAGCACCGUUCGAACAGGGAAUGCGGCUUCCUCUACCCCGCUUGGUUAUUGAUUUUUGCCAUUAUCAUUGCCUCUCGCCCGGGCAACUUACGCCAAACUCUUGGCGGUUGUUAUUGAGUUUACAGGUAUUCAGUGAAUUACAUGGUUUCGACAUCUCCAUCGCCGAUGUAAAGAGCACUUAUGAUCUUCUGAAUGUUCCAAAGGACAAAGGUCGUUACAAGUUAUGUAGGAAGAAAGGUUGUGAGCCUUUGAUUACGGACAUGGAUGAUGGUGAAAGGGCUUGGAAGAGUAAAUAUUUUUUCGUUGAAUACGGUGCUUUGUGUAUUCCGGAAGGGAAGAGAGUUCCUUCUGUUUGGUCUAAUCCUAGUGAGUGUUAGAAUUGGUGGAGUCUUUCAUGCUUCUCAUCCUCCUCUUUAUGCUAUUCUUUCUAACACUUUGAUUAUCUUUGUGUGCAGGUUGUUUGAAAACUAUCCCUGUAGUGUUGGAUUUGGUUGAACGGAACAACGGUUUCUUCAAUACCCUCCUCCAUAUCGGAGUUGGAGGGUUAUUCUUCACGAUUUGAACAUUAAGCAGUCGUCGAUUUGGGCUCAAGUCCCUGCUCCUCCGGAAGGUACAUUCAUCCCUAAAACUCUUGCUGAAACUAGUGUCGUGGUAGGUCUCCGCUCUUUGGAAAUUUUGCGGGUGAAACAGGCUUAUAAAAAUUUGGCUGAACUGACCCCGGAGCAACGAGUAUAUGCAGACGGUUGGAUGGCUGAUUGAAGUUUCACUAUAAUCCGAAUGAGGUCGACACUGACGCCUUCGUGGCGAGACAACUGAAGAGGAAGAAGAAGAAGCAGGCAUCAAGCUCGAGUGUGCCAACAGAGCCGCCUAUUGCGACUGAUGCACCGCGAUCUGACGUCCUUUCCGGUCGCUCCUCACGGAAACGGACUCCCACACCUGAUGAUGGUUGCUUAUCCGAUGGUUCUGUUCACGUAGUUCUACCUGUUGGUGCUUCGGCUCAUACCGAGUACAACGCGCUGUCAGGUCAGCUCGAAAAGCUCUUACUUGAAGAGGACCGAGCUGUUUUGAACAACUAUGGGGAGGAUGAAGCCUAUGACGUGUUCGCCUCUUCGGCCUUCGCGGUGAUAAAACUUGUCUCUUGUUUUCAUUUUUCCUUUGACAUGUUAUUUUUAUUGACUAACUUGUGGUAUUUUGAUAUCUUCUUGCAGCACUAUCAGCAUGCUAUCUUUAUGAAGCAGGCUAGGCUUGAGCACAAACGGCAACUACAGGAUGUUCGUGCUGCUAAGGCUAGGAUAGAGAACGAGCUUGUGGAAGCUCAGAAGUUGGUCAAGCAAGGCCAGGCGGACCUGGAGUCCUUGGAAGCGUCUCUUCAGGCUCAAUUGGCUUCGAAAGAUGAGGAAAUCAGUCGUCUGAAGGCUGAACUGGCGGAGAUGGAGAAAAAUCGGGAGCUAGAGCUUUUCGAUGCUUGCCAUGAGGCUGUGCUCAAGUCCCGGGCUGAUAUGAGUCAGGAGGUCUUGGAUGGGUCUUACAAGACUUGGGACAAUGCUGAGAACAUUCGACAGUGGAAGGUGUAUCAAGACAAGCUUUCCGGGGUGGCCACUUCAGGCGACGUCGAUGGCGACGAGUGAUGUUGUCGUUUCCUUAACUCUGCUUUGGUUGGGCGUAUGUGCCUCUAAUAUCUUAUGUGUAAUUUAGGCAUUCGUGCCUUCAGACUUUGUUAAUUUUGCAUAGGGUGUAUGCAUCCUUGGAUUCUUACUAGUUUAAGCCUACGCCAUUGGGCUGGACUUAAAUUUUUUCUUGUAUUCACGAGAAUGAUUUUUCCGGAGUGUCCGGAUCGCCGGGGGGUUUGCCCCCUGGAUCGGCUAUAUAUGACUGUUUUAUAUUCGAGUGUUUGUAUAUUUUUCUUUACCUAUUCGGACUUAACUGUUGAACCAAGACAAGUAGAUGUGAUACGAGUCUCAGGGCUGCGCAGUUGAGCGCUUUCCGAGCAGGGCUGCGUUGGGCAAUCGAGCACUGUCGGGUAGGGCCGAGCCGGAUAAUAAUAUUUUUCCCCUAUGUUUCCCCCAUUUAGACUUCAGUUGUUUGAACUUAAGGCUAAAUUAAGGAUGUUCGGGGUGAGACGGGUGUGCGCCUUUGACCUGAAAAUUUUUCUCCCCCAUUUAGACUUAGUUAUUUAAACUUAAGGCUAAUUCGGGACUGCGGGUGAGACGGGCUUGCGCCUUUUACACGACAUUUAUCCCCCCAUUUAGACUUAGUUGUUAAACUUAAGGCUAAAUUCAGGAUAUGCGGGUUGAGACGGGCUUGCGCCUUUUACACGAAAAUUUAUCCCCCCAUUUAGACUUAGUUGUUGAACUUAAGGCUAAAUUCAGGAUAUGCGGGGCGAGACGGGGCUUGCGCCUUGUACACGAAAUUCUUGCGCCUUUUACACGAAAAUUUAUCCCCCCAUUUAGACUUAGUUGUUGAACUUAAGGCUAUAUNUGCGCCUUUGACCUGAAAAUUUUUUCACCCCCAUUUAGACUUAGUUAUUUAAACUUAAGGCUAAAUUCGGGACGUUCAGGGUAAGACGGGUGUGCGCCUUUGACCUGAAAAUUUUUCCCCCAUUUAGACUUAGUUGUUAAACUUAAGGCUAAAUUCAGGAUGUUCGGGGUGAGACGGGCUUGCGCUUUGACAUGAAAAUUUUCUUCCCCCCAUUUAGACUUUAGUUGUUUAAACUUAAGGCUAAAUUCAGGACAUUCGGGGUGAGACGGGCGUGAGCCUUUGACAUGAAAAUUUUCUCCCCCCAUUUAGACUUAGUUGUUUAACUUAAGGCUAAAUUCAGGAUAUGCGGAGUGAUACGGGCUUGCGCCUUUUACAUUUAAAGCUUUUCCCCCCUGGGUGUGGAGGGGGAGGGGGCCUGCGCUCCUUAGAGCUGCCUACAUACCCAAUUAAGGGAUCAAGCCCGAAUGUAGUUUUGACCUGCAUGCAAAGGUCAGUAAAUGUGUAGUAGAUUGAGUUGGUCUCGGAAGACCUUAUGAAAUAGAGUAGAAGCGUAGAGAUCAAGCGUGAUACUGUUUGAGAUGGAUGGCGUUCCAGCUGUUGUUGAUGUCACGUCCGUCUGUCGAUCGCAACUUGUAUGCUCCAUGUCCAACCACUUUGGUGAUCAGAUAUGGUCUUUCCCAAUUCGGGGCUAAUUUACCCGCACCUAUUUCCUUGGUGUUCUGGAACACCUUUCGUAACACCCAGUCACCCGGCUUGAACGUGCGGGUACGGAUAUGCUUAUUGUAGUGCCUGGCGAUGCUUUGUUGAUACGAUGCUAAUCGGAUAUUGGCUUUGUUCCGUUUCUCGUCGAGGAGAUCUAACUCGUGGCACAUAGCCUCUUGAUUCUCGUUGUCUGUCGUGAGCUCAUGUCUGGCGGUGGGUACUUCGCUUUCCAUUGGGAUUACUGCCUCCAUCCCAUAGGCGAGGGAGAAUGGUGUUUCCCCUGUUGAUGUUCUUGUAGUUGUUCGGUAGGACCAUAGCACGCCUGGUAACUCAUCUGCCCAUUUGCCUUUGGCCUUUUCUAGCCGUUUCUUCAGGGUGUUCAUGAUGGUUUUGUUGGAAGACUCCGCUUGUCCGUUUGCCUGAGGAUACCUUGGUGUUGAGAAGCUCAGCUUUAUAUUCCAGAACUUACAAAAAUCUUGAAAGUCUGCGCUUAUAAAUUGGGACCCGUUGUCCGUGACGAUCUCCUUGGGCACCCCAUACCGGCAGAUCACGUUCUUCCAUAUGAACCCCUUGACUUCUUUGUCACGAACUUGGUGGAAAGACUCUGCUUCUAUCCAUUUGCUGAAAUAAUCGGUCACUGCCAACAUGUAUACCUUCUGCCCGGGUGCGGUGGGCAGUUUGCCUACAAUAUCCAUCCCCCAUUUCAUGAAUGGCCAUGGUGAAGUGAUAGCGGUCAGGGGCUCCGGGGGCAGGUGUGAUAUUUGGGCGAAUCGUUGACAUUUGUCGCACUUUCUAGCAUAAUCAGUGCGUCGUUUUCAUGGUGGGCCAUAGUAACCGCUGGUUAAGCGCGGUGUGCGAGGCUUCUUCCUCCUGAGUGAUUGCCACAUUCACCUUCUGUACUCGGACAAGAGUAUCUUGCUUCUCAGGGUUAAUCAUUUCAAGUAUGGACCGGUAAAUGAACGUUUAUACAGUUUACCUCGAUGAUGCAGAACCGGCGCUGAGCUUUACGCGUGCUCUUCCGAUCAUCGGAGUAUUCUCUUCGAGAUAUUCCAUUAUGGGGUAUCCAUGUUUCGACUGAUACUGAAGUCACGUGUUCCUCGGCCUCAUCUCUUUGUAUUGCUGGAUAUUGAAGGCAAGUGAUCGUUAUUGUUUUAGGUUGUGCGGUCUGAAUUGCUGAUCCCAGGUUGGCCAAAGCUCAGCGUGACCAUUCUCCCCCCUCGGCACUUGGUUGAUGGUGAAUUCUUCAAAGCAAGAUUGGAGCUUUUCGUCUUGCCCAGUAAGCCGUCAUUUUCGUAUCUUUGGCUUGAAAUGUACCCUGCAUCUGAUUAACUACAAGUUGAGAGUCACUAAAUACGUUAAUGCGUUUUACCCCAAUUUCCUUAGCUAGUCCGAGUCCGGCUAUCAUGGCUUCAUACUCAGCCUCAUUGUUGGUUGUUUUGAAAUCACAUCGGAUUGACCGCUCAAUGUUGUCUCCUCGUGGUGAUGAAGGACGAUCCAAGUCCUCCCUCGUACGUUGCUGGAUCCUACUAAUUCCAAGUUCCAGUUUGGUCGGGUUCUUCCGUCAGACAGCAUAACUCUUUGUCGGCCUGUAUAGUAAGGUUAGGUGCAAAGUCAACAACAAAAUCGGCUAAUACCUGAGAUUUAAGUGCGGUCCGUGGUUUUAUGUGAUGUCGUAUUCACUCAACUCCACUGCCCACUUUGUCAAUCGACCGGAUAGUUCCGGCUUAUGGAGUAUGGCCUUAAGGGAUACGUGGUGGCACUAUGGACGAUGACACUGGAAGUACGGACGUAACUUUCUUGCUGCGUGGACCAAUGCGAGGGCCAACUUCUCUAGCUGGCUGUAUCGGGUCUCUGCAUCAAGUAGUGAUUUGCUCACAUAGUAGAUUGGUGAUUGUUUCCCAUCUUCCUCUCUGACCAGCACGGCACUGACGGCUGUAUCAGAGACGGCUAGAUAGACCAAUAAGGUCUCGUGGUCUUUCGGUUUUGCGAGUAAAGGUGGGCUAGUCAAGUAUUGCUUGAGCUGCUUUAGCGCUUCCUCACAUUCUUCUGUCCACUCAAACGUUCUUGACUUCCUCAAGGUGUUGAAGAAGAGGUGGCAUUUUUCGGAUGAUCUUGAGAUAAAGCGGCUUAGUGCGGCUAUCCUUCCUGUCAAUUUCUGAACGUCCUUCACGCAAGUGGGGGAAGGGAUUCCCUGGAUUGACUCAAUCUGAGCCGGGUUUGCCUCUAUUCCCCGCUGAGUAACCAUGUAACCUAAGAACUUCCCUGCAUUGACACCAAAAGAACAUUUAGUAGGAUUUAGCUUCAUAUUGUAUUUUCUAAGAAUUUCAAACGUCUCCCUCAAGUGAUCAAUGUGGUCCUUCGCGUGGAUGGACUUGACCAACAUGUCGUCGAUGUAGACUUCCAUUGUUUGCCCCAACAAACUUGCAAACAUCCGAUUGACCAGGCGCUGAUAAGUUGCUCCCGCGUUCUUCAACCCGAAUGGCAUAUACUUGUAGCAAUAUAAAGCUACGUUGGUCAUGAAGGCCGUCUUCUCCUCGUCGUCAGGGUGCAUCCGUAUCUGAUGGUAUCCCGAAUAUGCGUCCAUGAAACUCAUCAAUUCAUGGCCUGCUGUCGCAUCCACUAGCAUGUCGAUGUGUGGCAGUGGGAACGAGUCUUUCGGGCAUGCCUUGUUGAGGUCAGUGAAAUCAAUGCAUACCCGCCACUUGUUAUUCUUUUUCUUGACUACCACCACGUUUGCGAGCCAUUCAGGAUAGUGGACCUCCCGGAUAAGUCCAUUCUUGAGGAGCUUCGUGACUUCAUCAUUCACUACUUGAUUCCUUUCUGGCGCAAACUUUCUCCGUUUUUGCUUCCUUGGCGGGUAAUCCGGGGCGACCUGCAACCUGUGAACAAUAAUCUUAGGGUCAAUCCCCGUCAUGUCCUCAUGGGACCAAGCGAAACAAUCGUAAUAAUCAGAUAGGAAGUUGAUAAGCUUCUCUCUGAGCUCUGGUUCGAGUUGUGCUCCAAUCCGGACUUUGUGGUCUGGAAAGCUCGCAUUAAUUUGAACUUCAUCUAUCUCCACCAUCUUCCUCGAUCAGGCUGCGUGGUCUCUUCGUUCGUGCAGCUCGAUUAUGUGCUCCGUCUGUUGAUUCAUGUCUUGAGUGCACUGAGAGUAUAUUCGGGUGUUCUGUUCUCCCAUGUGCUUCGUUUGAGAAUGUGGUUGAGUGAUUCGGCGUCCCUCCUGAUGUAAUUAUUGAUUCGACGUACACUCUUUAUUCGCCUUUGAAUGGGACGGAGCUUCUUGCUGUAAUUGCUAUAAGGACGGGCUUUUCGCUUUUAUAGUGUUUGGUAGCACGCCCUGGAGUCCUUCUGCUCUCCCUUGAUCUCCUUAACUCCCCACUUGGUUGGGAAUCGUAUGACUUGAUGAUAGGUGGAUGUACUGCUUCCAUUCCGUGGAUCCAUGGACGGCCUAGGAUGACGUUGUAUGCUGACGGGGCGUCUACCACGAGAAACCUAGUGGAAAGGUUGACUCCUUCUGCGUAGACGGGAAGAUCGAUCUCCCUAAGUAGUCGUACUCUCGCCACUGAAGCCACGAGUACGGCAGCUUUCUUGAUUAGUUUGGACUCGUCCAAACCCAUCUCCCUGUAUGCACUGUAAAACAGAAUAUUGGCAGAGCUACCAUUGUCUAUUAGCACACGCUUUGUUAACAGUUAGCAAUAUAAAUGGAAAUAACUAAAGCAUCAUGAUGAGGGUUAGAAGCUUGUCUGAUUCGGAUGUUGCAAAGCUGAUUUUAAGUUGGAUCCGUUGGUCCAGCUUUGCCAAAGGCGGAACUCCUGAUUUGCUUGAUCUAGCUGUCUGGUGUGUCUCUUGGCGCUGAGUGGGUGAUUCCGCUAACUUCGGAACCUCCGGUAUCAGUUACAGUUCUCUCUGAUGUGGCGGGCUGGGGGUCUCCUUGUUUCUGUCUUCCCUGCUGUGAGGUCUGUGCCUUUGUGUCAAUUGGUGAGGUCCCUUUUUUCAAUAAGUUCGCCCUCCAUCUGAGUGCGAUGCAUUCGUCGUGCGGUGACCUGGUCACUAUGAAAAUCACACCAUUUUGUCUGUCUCUUUGGUCGGGUGGAGCCCUCAUUUUCUCCGGCCAGCUGACCUUAUCGCCAAGGUUCAUCAAAGCUGUUACAGCCUCUACGGGUGAAAUGGACAGAGGUACUCUGGGAGUUUCGCUCUUUCGCGCGGGCGCGUAUUGGUGCUUAUCGUAAUCUCCCUCCCCUUGUUCCUCUCGAGAUGCGGUAGGGUUCACUUCGUCUGUCACGAUUGUCUCGACCGAUCUCCUGUCGACCCUGUAGUCUCUUUCGGGUCUCUCUGGCGGAAGACUCUUUGCAUUUGUACUGGUCUCUUCCCAUUUGAUUUGAGCCCAAGCCUGGAUCACACGUCUUCCAUGGUUUUGCAUGGAUACUUGGUGAGAGUCUUGUAUAAGUCUGAUCCUGGCAGAAGGCCUUACGGAAGGCCUGACAGGGUUGUUCGCUGAGUUGGUGAUUGAACUUUCUCUUUGUUGAAGCGUCCGAUGUAGUCCCGAAGAGGUUCGCCAUGCCUUUGGACAACUGAUACAAGUCUUCUGAGAUUUUUUCCAAUUUCCUGCUGCUUGCAUACUGUUGAACAAAAACAUCCGUUAGUUGAGCAAAGAAUCUAAAUUAAUUAUUAGGAAGGUUCGUAUACCACUGGAGGGCGGUCCUAUUAAGCUAGAACCGAACCCCUUACACAUGCACGCCUCCCUCAUGUCACGAGGAAUAGCAAGGUGAACAUUCUUUGACGGUAUGAGCUAUGUGGUCGUCUGGGUCGGAUGCGCCGUCGAACAUCUUCAUGUGUGAAAAGCUGAAUUUCCUGGGCAUCUCCACCAAAGCUAUCUCAUCCACGAAGGGGGGAGUCGGCGUAACAACUCUCUGCGCUUUUCUUUAUCGGAGCUGGAACUCCCGGGAUUCGUUGAAUGAUGGCCUCCAUAUCUGCCAACCUUCUAGCCAAGGCGGGAUCCAAGUUCUGGGUGCGUUGAACAUGCCAUGUNUGGGCUGUCGUCUCUGUGUUUCUCUUGUCUAUCCCUUGCCUGCUGCAGGGUCUGCUUGCCUUUGUCAGUCAAGUAAUUGGUGAGGUGCCCUUUUUUCAACAAGUUUGCCACUUCCAGUCUGAGCGCGAUGCAUUCGUCCGUGCGAUGACCGUGGUCACUAUGGAAAUCACACCAUUUUGAUCUAUCUCUUUGAUCGGGUGAGGCUCUCAUUUUCUCCGGCCAACUGACUUUAUCGCCAAGGUUCAUCAGAGCUGUUACCGCCUCUACGGGUGAAAUGGACAGGAGGUACUCUGGGAGUUUCGCUCUUUCGCGCGGGCGCGUGCUUGGUGCUUGAUCAUAAUCUCUCCUCCUCUUGUUCCCUCUCUGAGAUGGCGUGUAGGGUUCACUUCGUCUGUCACGAUUAUCUCGACCGGAUCUCCUGUCGACCUUGUAGUCUCUUUCGGGUAUCUCUGGCGGGAAGACUCUUUGCAUGUUAUACUGGUCCUCUUCCCAUUUGAUUUGAGCCCAAGCCAGGAUCAACACGUCUUCCAUGGUUUUGCAUGGAUACUUGGUAAGAGUCUUGUACAAGUCUGAUCCUGGCAGAAGGCCCUUACGGAAUGCCGUGACAGCGGUCUGUUCGCUGCAGUUGGUGAUUGAUACUUUCUCUUUGUUGAAGCGUCCGAUGUAGUCCCGAAGAGGUUCGCCAUGCCUUUGGACAACUGCAUACAAAUCUUCUGAGAUUUUUUCCAAUUUCCUGCUGCUUGCAUACUGUUGAACAAAAACAUCCGUUAGUUGAGCAAAAGAUCUAAUUGAAUUAUUAGGAAGGUUCGUAUACCACUGGAGGGCCGGUCCUAUUAUGCUAAAACCGAACCCCUUACACAUGCACGCCUCCCUCAUGUCACGAGGAAUAGCAACGGUGAACAUUCUUUGACGGUACUGAGCUAUAUGGUCGUCCGGGUCGGAUGCACCGUCAAACAUCUUCAUGUGUGGAAAGCUGAAUUUCCUGGGCAUCUCCACCAAAGCUAUCUCAUCCACGAAGGGGGAGUCGGCGUAACAACUCUCUGCACUUUUCUUUAUUGGAGUCGGAACUCCAGGGAUUCGUUGAAUGAUGGCCUCCAUGUCUGCCAACCUUCUAGCCAAGGCGGGAUCCAAGUUCUGGUGGGUGCUGAGCAUGCCAUGUCGGCCCUGAUCACCAAGAGGUGGUUGAUCUGGCGUGUUGCCAUUCUGACCGAUUGGAACCGCUUGCCUCGGUCCCUCUAGUUGACUUGUUGGGGCGUCACACAUGAGAGCAUCUUCGUGUGGUUGUGUCAGCACUAUGUGAUCACGGGCGAUAUCGGUCCGACCGGUCGGGGUGGACUGGUCCAUUCCCCCAGUCGCUAAGUUGGCCUGUGUGAGGGCACCUGUGACGUUUGUCCCGGUUGCUCCGGGCGUCCGAUCUAGGGUGCGCGUUUCGCCUGCAUUCACAAGAAGAGUAUCCAGGUUAGGAUGGAUAGUCUCCGAUCUAUUGUUCAUUACCGAUGAUGAAGGGUCAUCUGGGUUGAUCUCAGUUCCAUGGGGUGUGAGCGGGACAUCCUCUAUGUCCACCAUGGAGUUGACGGGAACUCGAAAUCGGUUAUUGCGGAGUGUUUGGAUUUGAGGAGGCGUCUGGAUCUGGGCGAAAGCAUUCAACCGAGCGAGUAGUUCCGCAUUCUAUUUUUCCAGUAAGAGCCUACUCUCUCGUUCUUGUGUGAUUUGGUCGGCCAAAGCGGAGAUCCGGGCAUUCACCUCUACUUGAGCAAGCAACUCUGAUUGGGUUGAACCCAAUUGGUUUGAGGCAUUGUUCGAGUCGUUAGCGUCGUUCGGAGCACUCAUGGUGUAGCUUGAGAUUGCUAGGGCCCCACGGUGGGCGCCAAAUUGUAGGGGGUGAAUCCGACAAUUACGGAAGCGACGUCAGUCACGUCUGGAUCGACGGGCACUAGCAACCUGAGACCACAAAUAACGUUAGAGCCCUCCGAAGAGCACCGGUGGGGGUGUCGAUGGAAGGGCCUCCGACGCUCAAGUCAGUGAAUUGAUAUAAAAUAAUAACGUAAGUAACGUAACGAAAAUAAGUAGAUGAAAAAGGAAAAGGCAAUAGUAAAUGGAGUAUCCGGAAGAUAGGGGUGUCCCAGAAGUUAGAUCAAAGCUGGUGAGCGACGAUGAACAAGGGGCGACGAACGUCCGGGCUAGCGGGGCUAGUCAAGCAAUCGGAACCCUUGAAGUUGUGAGCGUGGAGGCGGAACGGAAGAGCGGAGAGAGCAGGAGAACACCAGAUUGAGAGAUCGUAAGUAUUAGAAUGAAUGUCAAUGACGGCGGCCCUCGAUUGUGUUAGUGAGGUAGUAUAUAUAGGUUAUGGGCCUGCGGAGGGAUGAUUAGGGUUAGGGUUUGUUGGAAUGUUCCUUGAAACCCUAACGGUUCCGACUUCUUCGGAGUCCACUUGCCGUAACCUUCGUUUGACCUAGUCAGCCACGUUGACUAGGUUUUCGUAAGCUUAUAAUCCAGUUUGUAUACUUUCGUGUUGAAAUGUUUACUAUGGCGCUGCUGCUAGAGCAGAGGGAUCGCGCCUCUGCCGGAGCAGAGAGAUCAUGCCGCUGCCAAAGCAGAGGGAUCGCGCCUCUGCCAGAGCAGAGGGAUCAUGUCGCUGCCAGAGCAGAGGGAUCGCGCCUCUGCCAGAGCAGAGGGAUCAUGUCGCUGCCAGAGCAGAGGGAUCGCGCCUCUGCCAGAGCAGAGGGAUCAUGUCGCUGCCCGAGCAGAGGGAUCGCGCCUCUGCCAGAGCGGAGGGAUCGCGCUGGGCAGAGUCAGGGUUGCCCAUUCAAGGAUUUCGCUGAUUCCUCUGGCGAGGGUUUCGCUGAUUCCUCUGGCGAGGACUUCGCUGAUUCCUCUGGUGAGGAUUUCGCUGAUUCCUCUGGCGAGGACUUCGCUGAUUCCUCUGGCGAGGAUUUCGCUGAUUCCUCUGGCGAGGGUUUCGCUGCUCCUCUGGUCAGUCGGAUUUUAUCCAUUACAUUAGGCUGGUCCGUUAUUGGAGUGUAGUUUUGGUUCAUACGAAUUUUACCCAUUACAGUUCUCUGGCGAGAGUCAUUUUUCUGCGUGUUGCUCCUAUUAAAAUAAAAUUAAAUUUUGAAUUAACGACUUCAUAGUCAUUUCACCCCAUUUUUUUUGUUUUUUCCCCAACGCCUUCAUAGCCGUUUUUCAUCCUUUUUUUUUCCUUUCUAUAAAUACCUCAUUCAUUUUUUCAUUCACACACACAAAUAAUUUUCUCUUUCAAUCUUUCUCUAUUUCUCCUUCAUUCAACACACACAAAAAAAUGGAAUGUUCGAUGUAGGGGUGGGAAGAUAGGGUUCGGUUAUAGGGUACCCGAUUACCCGACCCGAAAAAAUCGGGUAUCGGGUACCCUAUACCUGAAAAAUUAGGGGUCGGGGUCGGGUUCGGGUACUUAGGGUGUUAAAAAUUCGGGUAUCGGGUAUACCCGAUCGGGUAUCGGGUAUACCCGAAAUACCCGAUUUUUUAAUUAAUAAAUUUUAAAUUAUUUAAUUAAAUUUAAUUUAAAAAUCUGUAAAAUUUUGAAUUGAAAUUCAAUUUUAAUUUAAAAUUUUAGACUUGGGAGUUGAGAUUUGUGCUUGUUGAUUUUUUGAUUUGAUAUUAUAUAUUAUUUGUUAAUACAUGGAAUUAAAAACGUACACAAUUAUAUAGGGAAAGGCUGAAAAUAGAGGUUACAUUUUUAAUUUUUUUUAAAAAAAAAUAGGGUAUUUCGGGUAUUAGGGUACCCGAUUAAGCCAAAUCGGGUAAUUCGGGUACCCUAAUACCCGAAAUACCCGAUUUUCACAGUUUGACUUGAAAGAUGCAAUUUUGAUCCGGUAAUUUAGGGUACCCGAAUACCCGACUCGGGUAUUAGGGUGCCCGAUUUUUUUCGGGGUCGGGUCGGGUAUAGGGUUUCUGUGUAAUUCGGGGUCGGGUACCCGAUUUUUUUGGGUAGGGUACCCGAUCCCGACCCGAUUCCCAACACUAGUUCGAUGAUACUUUGUCGUCUUCAUCCGACAGUGUAGCAGAGGCGAUUAUGGAUGAGAUCCAUGAGCAGAAAUAAUUGUAUGCUAAAAUGUACUCCCAACCGGCGCCGGAACGUGUUGUUCAUCACCGACAAUAUGUCUAUCGUGAUCGUGAGGCUACCCAUUUAUGUCUUAUGCAAGACUACUUCAACGAUAAUCCGACGUACGGGCCUAUAUUUUUCCGACGUCAUUUUCGAAUGAAGAAGGAGUUGUUCUUGCGCAUCGUCGAGGCUGUUCAAGGUAAAGAUACUUACUUCCAGAUGAGCCAUGAUGCACGAGGUCGAGACUCUCUUACGCCUUUGCAGAAAUACAGGGCGACUAUCCGCCAAUUAGCCACCGAUGUCAGUGCGGAUACUUUCGACGAGUAUCUCAAGGUCGCCAACACGACGGGGCGUUUAUGCCUCAAGAAAUUCUGCAAGGCUGUCAUCCGGACUUACGGAGCCGAGUAUCUUCGAUGUCUUAAUACGGCGAACAUCCAACGCCUUCUUUAGAUGCAUGAGGUGCGACACGAAUUUCUCGGAAUGCUCGAGAGUCUUGAUUGUGUGCAUUGGGUUUGGAAGAAUUGCCCAAAGGCGUGGCACGGUGAUCAAGGGGAGCUCACCUUGAUCUUGGAGGUUGUUGUAUCCCACGAUUUGUGGAUUUGGCAUGCCUUCUUCGGUGUUGCCAAUUCGAACAACGAUAUCAACGUGCUGAACCAGUCGUCUCUGUUCUCCGAUGUGUUGGAUGGAACAGCGGCGCCAGUGAUCUUUGAGGCCAAAGGAGACGUGGUUCAAGAAGAUGCAAGAAUCACCAUGGAAGGAUAUCGAACGUGCCUUUAAAGUGCUUCAAGUUCGAUGGGGAAUCAUUUGAAGUCCGGCGCAGGGUUGGUACGUCGAGCAUCUCAAGGACAUCAUGAUGUGUUGUAUCAUUAUCCACAACAUGAUUGUGGAGAACGAAGGUGAAAGAGCUGCCCAUUGAAGAGAUAACGACGCAGGAUACGGGGUGUCUAGCAGUGACUCGACGGAGAGUGCUCGAGCAACCCCAAUUUGCUUCGAGGAAUACGUGCAAAGAGAUGUAAUUCUUCGAGAUAAACAUAUACAUGCUCAACUCCAACAUGAUUUGAUCGAGCAUGUUUGAGUGCGUUUCGGACGUAUAGGGCCGAAAUAGUUAAUUUUAUGAUAUGUUAUUAAAUUUUUAAGAUUUAUGUAAUUUUUAGAAUUUUCAAAUUAAUGCAAUAUAAAUUUGAAGUAAAUUGUGUUAUUUAAAUUUUUGCAAUUAAAUUUAAAUGNNNNNNNNNNNNNNNNNNNNNNNNNNNNNNNNNNNNNNNNNNNNNNNNNNNNNNNNNNNNNNNNNNNNNNNNNNNNNNNNNNNNNNNNNNNNNNNNNNNNNNNNNNNNNNNNNNNNNNNNNNNNNNNNNNNNNNNNNNNNNNNNNNNNNNNNNNNNNNNNNNNNNNNNNNNNNNNNNNNNNNNNNNNNNNNNNNNNNNNNNNNNNNNNNNNNNNNNNNNNNNNNNNNNNNNNNNNNNNNNNNNNNNNNNNNNNNNNNNNNNNNNNNNNNNNNNNNNNNNNNNNNNNNNNNNNNNNNNNNNNNNNNNNNNNNNNNNNNNNNNNNNNNNNNNNNNNNNNNNNNNNNNNNNNNNNNNNNNNNNNNNNNNNNNNNNNNNNNNNNNNNNNNNNNNNNNNNNNNNNNNNNNNNNNNNNNNNNNNNNNNNNNNNNNNNNNNNNNNNNNNNNNNNNNNNNNNNNNNNNNNNNNNNNNNNNNNNNNNNNNNNNNNNNNNNNNNNNNNNNNNNNNNNNNNNNNNNNNNNNNNNNNNNNNNNNNNNNNNNNNNNNNNNNNNNNNNNNNNNNNNNNNNNNNNNNNNNNNNNNNNNNNNNNNNNNNNNNNNNNNNNNNNNNNNNNNNNNNNNNNNNNNNNNNNNNNNNNNNNNNNNNNNNNNNNNNNNNNNNNNNNNNNNNNNNNNNNNNNNNNNNNNNNNNNNNNNNNNNNNNNNNNNNNNNNNNNNNNNNNNNNNNNNNNNNNNNNNNNNNNNNNNNNNNNNNNNNNNNNNNNNNNNNNNNNNNNNNNNNNNNNNNNNNNNNNNNNNNNNNNNNNNNNNNNNNNNNNNNNNNNNNNNNNNNNNNNNNNNNNNNNNNNNNNNNNNNNNNNNNNNNNNNNNNNNNNNNNNNNNNNNNNNNNNNNNNNNNNNNNNNNNNNNNNNNNNNNNNNNNNNNNNNNNNNNNNNNNNNNNNNNNNNNNNNNNNNNNNNNNNNNNNNNNNNNNNNNNNNNNNNNNNNNNNNNNNNNNNNNNNNNNNNNNNNNNNNNNNNNNNNNNNNNNNNNNNNNNNNNNNNNNNNNNNNNNNNNNNNNNNNNNNNNNNNNNNNNNNNNNNNNNNNNNNNNAUGGAUCAACCUCAGGUAAAUCAUUAAACCUUCCGGGAUGGAGGGAGUAUGUAUGGACAAUUUGUACAACCUCAGUGACAUGCAAACAUAAACAUUAAGAUGUAAAAUUAAAUUAUUUGAUCCACCACAAAUUACAAACAGACAGACGUACGGUGAAAUAAACAGAUACUCAUUCAAGCCCAGCAGGCGGUGGAAGACCUUACAAUUGCAAACAUCACGGGGUAGUUAGUUUGGCAUGUAGCUCGAUAAUUCAAGGAGAUGACAAAAUAAUAUAUUCAAAUGUUUGGCUACAUCACAUAAACAUAGUGGCUACUAAUACAAUCAGAACUAUCUGAAUGAAAAAGUACUAAAACUUUGGUAAGGAGAAACAACAUUUUACCACGUGUCCAAGUAUUUCGUUGCAACUUGUUCAUGAACUUUUGUUCUGUUGAUGAUAGCAACAGGAAUGGAUCUUUAUCAAAGUUAAACAUUGCAACUUCAACUCACUUAUUCUAGCCAAAAUAUGCAUCCAACAUAGAUUACUAUGAUUAUUUUAAGAUUGAUUCUCAAAUAAGUGCAAAUGCUGCAAAAGACAAUUGAGAUAAGAGAUCAGAUAAACACAAAGUACAAAACUAUGAAAAGAUUUGCUAGGUAGGGGAGUCAGAAUUUGAAAGAUAACUUACUUGGCAAGAUAAAUAAAACUUGAUCAUGAAAUAGGAGGAUAAAUGGAGAGCACGAAUUCAGAGCCUUCAGCCAGUGUCUUUUUCUUUGCAUCUGAGAUGUCCUUGGCAGAUUUAGCUGCAGAUAUGCAAGUAUGCAUCUCCACCUUUUGGAGGCUUGGUAUGUCAGCUAGCUCAACUGGAAUUCCACGAAGCUUCUUACAGUACUUGAGCACAAGGCUUCUGAGCUUCGGGUAGUGACGGGAUGAAGCAUUCCAAACAAUUAAAUCCGUGUCUUCAAUGUGUAAAAGUUCAAGUUGCUGAAAACCUCCAUCAACCGCCUUCAAGAUGCUCCCACUAAAUGCAUUAUCUUUUAGCUUGAGCACCUCGAGUCCCUCUAGUUUUCCGAGGGUAGACAUAUGUUCCCAACUGAGGAAAGUAGCACAUAAUGUAAGGCUCGUGAGGCUGGGUGGGAAUCUACGAUAUUCAGGAAAGCUACCCACUCUUGCUUCCCUCUGUGGGUAAGGAUAUGCGUCGUUUAUUAGUUUCAGCUUUCCAAGUUCUCUCAUUUUCCCCAAACUAUCAAAAGAUCCAUGCCUUCCAUCAAAGAGCAAGCCUAGUUGCCCACGGAUGCCCAAUUUCUUCAAAUUGGGCACCCGAUCAGAGAGUUGUUCCAUGCAACUUUCCACCGAGAUAAAGCUGAGUGUUUGAAGCUCUGAACUUUUUUUGCCACUUUUAGUUGACUUGGGCAAGGUAGCAGAGGCAUUUGUCUUGAAAUGCCUCAACUGAUUCAUCUUCCAUAUAUCUGCUUCAACUUUAAGCGUACGACAUGUGGUGACGACUAUAAGAGUUUGUAUGUUCCAAAGCUGGUUGAACUUUGAUGGAAGAACUGACAAGUCGGACGACAAGGCAAUGUAUCUCAAAUGAAGCAAAUUGUACAGGUCACUGUUAAUCUUGGUGAACGUGAACGGAAAAACAUCUAAAACUCUGAGCAAUUUGAAGGCUCCAAUGAUGUUUCUACUGUUUUCCGGAGACAAAACAUACUUAUUCUUGGAAAAACAAACAAAUGAGCGUGCACGAUGAACACAAGAUUUUGAUGAGAUAAAUUUCAAACACCUGGAAUGCAUAGAGAGACGGUGAUACUUAUGUAAGUCAGAAGUUGAAGGUGCAAACUGUCCGUCCCUCACAUACUUGAUUUCUUGGUGGAAAUUUUCAUUUGUAGCUUCAAUGCUGCAGAAAUCACGUACCAUGUCAUGAACCCGGCAUAUUUUAACUGUACCAUCAGAGUUAAACUUGUCACUUUUGACUAAGUUUCUACUGAUAAGAUCCUCCAAAUAUUUCUCAGCAGUUUCCUCCAAACUAUAAUCAAGCUCUUGUUGUACGAAUCCUUCUCCUAUCCACAUGCGGAUUAGUUUUGACACUGGAAUUUCAUAGUCCUUUGGGAACAACCCAAAAUAGAGAAAGCAUGGGCGCAAGUGGUAAGGUAAUUUGUCAUAGCUCAGAGAUAUAGAUUUUUGCAUGCGAUCUGCCGGGUCAUUCCCAAUGGCAAAUGAGCUCACGUGAUCGGACACUUUUUCCCAAAAUCUUCUCGUUGCAGUGGUAACUGAGCCUGAAGACCUAGUGGCAAGCAUGCCUCCUAUGACUGCUAUUGCAAGUGGCAGACCAUCACAACUCUUUGCAAUUCUUCGUCCGACAAGUUCCAAUUGAGAAGGGCAGUCCAGCUUGCCGAGUGCCUCCAACCGAAGCAGCUCCCAGCUUUCUUCCAAGUUAAAGAGACGCAAAUUGUAGGGAGGUCUCGGCCGGCUCGCAUAGUAGCCUACUCCAUUCAUACGAGAGGUGAUCAAGACUUUACUUUUUGUAUUGUCUUCGGGCAGAGCCGCAUGAAGUCUAUCCCAAUCAGCAGUUUCCCACACAUCAUCCAUGACAAUCAGGAAUCUUUCUCUUUUGAGAAGAGAGGCAACCAAAUCAGCUAACUCAUGAACAUUUUUGGCAUGUAUAUCGUCAUUUAUUCUGGUUAAAUUCCUGAGAAUGUCUAGAAACAUUUCCCUGUCCGUGAACUGUUUAGAAUUGGAAAGCCAGAUGAGGGUGUGGAAGAAGUGUUUGAUUUCUGGAUCAUUAAAAAUCUUCCAUGCCAGCGUCGUCUUGCCCAGCCCAAACAUACCAGUUAUAGAAAUGACAUCAAAAUAGUCGGUUUCCUGAGUCAGACGGCGUAUGAGAUCUUCCGCCACAUCUGCGAAGCCCACCACAUUUUCCUCUCUUGGUAGCCGAGGCUGUUUGAGAAGGGCAUAAAAAUCCAAACAGAUAUUGGAAGAAAUUAGAAAAAUAACUGCUAAGAAUGUAUAUUGUAUUGAUGCAACAAGCAAGUAACAUUGAAAGAAUUUGAUAUAUAAAUAUUUAAUUUGUGUGUGCCAUGUACCACUAUCAGAAAACCUAGUUUGUGAUCCGUUGAAUUUCGAUGGGGGUGUUAUGCAUCUAAAAUAUUUUAUUAUUAAUAGAAUUUUACAAUUUUUAAAAAGUAAUAAAUGGGAAAAAUAAGAAGUUAAAGAAAAAAAUACUCCCGUCCAUAAUUUAAAGCCCUACUUGCUCUUAUUUUUUUGUACACAAAUUAAAACUGUAUUAUGUUUUUUGUACUCUUUUACUCUUCUUCUUUUCCUAUAUUUACUACUAUUUGUCACUAAUAGACUCGCCUUAAAACACAUUUAUCAUUUUUAUAUUUUAUAUUUACUAUACUUUAUCACUAGUGGACUCACUCAUAACACCUUUAUCACUUUAGUCAACUAUCUUUAUCACUUUAGUUAACUACCCUUAUAUUUCAUCCACAUCACCUUUUUUUAGUUUUCUUAGUCUCCGUGCCCACACCAAAGUGGGGCUUUAAAUUGUGGACGGAGGGAGUAUAUAAAAAAAUAUAUUCUCUCCGCCCACAAAAUGAAUACUCAUUUGAAGGUGCCACGAGUUUUAAAAAAUUAAACCUAUAAUUUAGUGGAAUNUCAGUAUAUAUAUAUAUAUAUAUAUAUAUAUAUAUAUUGCGAACGAAGGAAAUAUAAUUUAUAAAUAAACUUUCAAUUUUAUUAUAAUCACAAAUUUAUCUCUCAAUUUUUAAAAUUAAUUUUCAAAUUAUAAAUUACCAUUUUUAAUAUAUCACUAGCAUUUGCAUCCAGUGCAAUGCACGAGAAAACAUUUUUAACUUUUAUAUUUAUAUAAAAUUAAUACAAAUCAAUUAUUAUACUUAUAGAUAUAAUAAAAAUAAUAAUUUGAAUUGAAUAUUGACAAAUAAAAAGAAUUCACAAUUAUAAAAUUCCAUAUUGAAAAACAAAAAUAAUAAGUUAAAAAAAGCAAAAAUAAAAUACUAAUUAAAAAAAUUAAAAAUAGAUUUAUUCAAAAAAGAUGAGAGAGGAGAGAGAAAUUUAUAAAACUUUAACACUUAAAUAAAUUUAAAUUUUACAUUUUAAAUCAAAUAUUUUCAUGAAAUAUAUCAUAUUAAAGUUUUUAUCGUUAUCUUUAAUUUGAUAUGCAUAUUAAAUAUUUUAUAAUUAAUUGAAUUUCACAAUUCUCGAAAGAAAUGUAACAACAAAUAAGAAGUUAAAAGAAAAUGAAAAUAAAAAAAUAUAUAUAUAGUUUAAACAUAAAUCUUCAAUUUUAUUAUAACUACAAAAAUGCCACUCAAUUUUGAAAUUAAUUUGAAAUUGAAAACUUCUUUUUAAUAUAGUACUAGCAUUUGCACUCGUGCAACACACAAAAAAUAUUUUUAUAUUUUAUUAUAUAUAAAAUUGAUAUUAAUUUGAUUAUUAUAUAAAAAUUCUAAAUAUAAUUAAAAAUACUACUCCCUCCGUCCCACGAAUCUUGACACGUUUUUUUUUUUUUUGGCCGUCUCACGAAUCUUGACACGUUUCAAUUUUAGGUAAUAAUUAUUACGUUCUCUCUCUUAUUUUAUCACUUUUAUUACUCUUUCUCUUCUACUUUAUCACUUUUAUUACUUUCUCUAUCUUAUUUUAUCACUUUUAUAUUUUAUUAACUACACAGUUAAAACACUAAUCUACAAUUCCUUAAUUCCAGUGCCGAAUCCAAACGUGUCAAGAUUUGUGGGACGGAUAAAGUAUAAUUUAAUAUAAAUAUAUUUUAGUUUAAUAUAAAAAUAAUAAAAAAUAAUUCAUAUUAAUAAAAUUGAUAUUGUAAAAAAAGAAAACAAUAUAAGUUAAAAGAUAAUUGAAAAAAAUAGAUUUAUUCAAAAAAAAGAUGAGAGAGUAGAGAGAUUUUUUUUUUAAUUUUUAAUCUUUAGAUAAAUAUAAUUUUUAUAUUUUAAAUCCAAUAUUUACAUAAUAUAUCAAAUUAAAGCUCUUGUCAUAAUCUUUAAUUUGAUAUGCAUAUCAAAUAUUUUAUAAUUAGUCGAAUUUCAAAAUUUUUAAAAAGAAAUAAAAUAGAAACAGAAGAAGUUAAAGAAAGGAAAAAAAAAGUAUAUAACUUAUAAAUAAGCCUUCAAUUUUAUUCUAACUACAAAAUUGCCACUCAAUUUUGAAAUUGAUUUGAAGUCUGGAUCCAAUCCAGAUUCAUUGGAUCAAAAAAUAAAAUCCACAUUUAGAUCCAUAAGAUUCACAAGAUCUUGGAUCCAAAUAAAAAUCCAUAUUUUCUAUCUUUAAAAAUAAAUCAUAAAUGAAAAUAAGUUUAUUACACCAUAAUUUAUAAGAAAAUUACAAUAAUAAAAAUAAGUUAUACUAAUAUAAUGAAAAUACAUAAUUAUCUUAGUGUCAACCAACGCAACACAUUCACGUCACCAACAUAUAUAAUACUCCCUCCGUCCCACUAGACUUGGCACUUUUGAGUUGGGCACGGAGAUUAAGAAUAAGGGUUAAGAGUGUAAAGUAGGUAGGGUCCACUUAUUUUAUGUGAGUAGAGAAAGUAGGGACCACAUACUAUUUUAGGAAAGUGCCAAUUCUAGUGGGACAAACAAAAAAGGCAAGUGUGUCAAGUCUAGUGGGACGGAGGGAGUAUUAUGAAGGAGGUGAAAUCGUGAAAUUAGGAAAUAGAGAUUUCUCGAGGUUAAGAACUAGUGGAUAAACUCAAUACUGAGGAUCUAGACAUAAAAAUAAAAAUGAUAUACUCACUCGAUCCCACUUCAAGUGAUAGUAUGGUUAUUUAGUAAAAGACUAAUUAGAUUAUUAAAGGGUGUGGUCUAGAGUUGAAAAAUAGAUGUGGAUCCCAAAGAUUCUCUUUUUUUGAGACUAAUUUUUUUCAUAAAAUAAAACAAGACAUUUAAAAUGGGACAACCCAAUAAGAAAAAUAAGACGCUUAAAAUAAGAAGAAGAGAGUAUUGUAUUACUCCCUCUGUUUCACUUAAAUUGACACUUUUGAGUUAGACACGAAAAUUAAGAAUAAAAGGUUAAUAGUGUAAAGUAGGUAGAAUCCACUUAUUUUAUUUAUGUAUAGAAAGUAAGGACCGCAUACUAUUUUAAGAACGUGUUAAUUUAAGUGGGACAAAUAAAAAAGACAAGUAUACCAAUUUAAGGAUGACGGAGGAGUAUAAGAGCAUUGGCAACGCAGCUCCUCGAGCAUUACUCGAGUAAGGCAAUUUCUUCGUGUAUGGCGUUGCAAUGGCUGUUUCCUCGAGCAUUACUCGAGUGCUCGGGUAGCUUUAAUUUCCAAUGGUUUGUUUUUUUUUUAUUAUUAAAGUUUUAUGUAAUAUUUAGGAUUUUAUAAUUAAUGCAAUUUAAAUUUGAAAUAAAUUGUGUUAUUUAAAUUUGAACAAUUAAAUUUAAAUGAAAAACAUAAAAUCAAAACUAAUGUUAUCAAGUAGGCUAUCAAGUAACCCCAAUGCAGCACUACCUACUCAAUAACACAACCACUAUCAAGUAGGCUAUCAAGUAACCCCAUUGCGGAUGCUCUAUGGGAUGUUUACCUUAAAAGAUUAGAUUUGAUAGAUUAAAAUAAUAAGAUUAAUUCAUUAUGUACUUUAAUGGAUAAUUUUUUUUUUGACAAAUUAUCAUUUUUAUCAUUUAAAUUAAUUUUACUUAUUUCUUAUUUUAUUGAAAGAGUGAAUUCAAGAAAUUUUAUAUUUAAAAAUAAAAUUACUUAGUCAUGCAAAAUAAAUGAUCCUAAUCUCGGUAUGUACGAAUCUCAAAAAUUAUAAUCCAAAUCUAGAAUCCGGAAGUUAGAGCCCCGAGCCAAAUCCAUCAAAUCUUUUUUUGAAGCUCCAAAAAAAGAAGAAAAAAAAACCUGAAUUAGUGGAUUUGGAUUGGAUCUAAGAUCCAUUGUCAUGUCAUCUCUCUCUAAUUAAUCCUUUUUUGGGAGUGGAUAAUCCUAAUUAAAUUAGAAUUCGAUGAUUAAAGAUCUAUAAGGGGAGAUGUGAUGAAUAAAGAGGGGUAAAAAGGUGACCUCAAGUCUUCGAUGGCUGUCACUAUCAUCGACGGUGGAGAUGCGGAAAUCGGCCGUCCACGGCUUGACUUCAUUCAUAAUCUCCUCAACCUUUGUGCCAAUGGCGAGGAGAUCGGCAGCAUUCUUCCUGUGUCCCGAGGAGCUCUUGGGGUUUUUCUCGACGGCGGCGUUGGUAACAAAGGCGUCAAUGAUAUUUUCGGCCUCGAAAACAACGUCUUGAAUAUGCCUCACCAAAUGGUUUAUACGCUCAUUCUUUUUCCGAUUCUUCAAGGUGUCCCUCAGGAACGCUCUCAACAAGCGGAGAUCCGUCUCCAGAAUCUCGAUUUCGCCCUUCUUGUCUUGCAUUAAACGGGCGUUGUAUACCACCAGGUCCUUGAGGUUUUGAAGCAAAAAGUCAACUGCUGGCUCCGCCAUUUCUCUCUCUAUUUUGCGGGUAUUCCCUCACUUAGUAGUCUAUUUAGCUACGACACAAUACAGCAGCGAGUGGUUUUAUACAUGUUAAUUUUGGGAUGAGAUCCAAUGCGUCACUGUAUCAUGCUUAUAUUAUUAUUUAAAAAUAUUUUUAUAAAAAUAAAAUUAUUAUAAUACUGUGAAUUAUAUUUAAUUCUUAUUUAAUAAAAAUUACUUCAUCCGUCCAUCAAAGAUACGUCACUUUACUUUGACACGAAUUUUAAAAAAUGGUGUGUAUUAUUGUGAGUGAUUGUGGAUCCCCUUUUGAUCUGAAUGAGAAAUCGCACUUCUCCAAAAACAGUGUGAGAUGGAGAGGAAAACACUCUGUCAAUAAGGAGAACUAUGAUGAUCUGAAUGAGAAAUACGCACUUUUCCAAAAGUAGUGUGAGCUGGAGAGGAAAGCACGAAUUACUUCUCCAAAUUAUAAUAUAUUAGGAUCUAAUUUCGUGGAAAUCGAUCAUCGUUUCAUAUAUAAUUUCAAUAACGAAGAGCUAAUAUCAAAGUUUAGACAAUAUAAAAAAUAAAUCAAAGUUAAAACUAUAAAUUAAAUUUGUUGUUGAAUAUUCAAGCUAUAAACUAUAAUUAAUCCAUUUUAAAAUAAAAGAGUAAAAAUGGGAUAAAAUGAAAAUGAGAAUUAUAGUGCCUCUUGUAAAAUCAACGCACUAUAGACGUGAGGCGCUACGGUGGGGACCACCUUAUAGCGCCUCCCAUUGGAGAUGCUUUAAAUCGUAUGGCCUAUUGAAUUGGGUGAAUGGAGUAGUAAUUAAAAAUGUGUCAAUAGGCAAAAAUGCCCACUUUAUUAAGUGUAAAAUUAAAAGGGUAAAUAUCAUGAAAACCCCUGAACUAUACCCAUUUUAUCAAAAAUACCCCGAAACUUUUGAAAUGUUCUCUAAACCCUCAAACUAUCAGGUUUUUAUCAAAUAUAUCCUGCAUUUAUUUUCCGGUUACCAAAACGUGAUGUGGCUCGCCGGAUGCCACAAUGUAAUUUAUAUUAUAUUUUGUUUAAAUGACAUGAAAAAAACGACUUCGUUUCGUACCAUAUUCUACCGCGUNAAUAAUUACUUAUUAGUAUAAGACAAUAAUUACUUUUAAUAAGCAUAAAGACCACGGUUCCACGGUUCUACGGUUCCACGGUUCUAACCGUGGAACCUUCGGUUCACGGUUCCAAGGCGGUUCUGGCACGGUUUCAUCCCAGUUCCCGGUUCCACGGUUCGGUUCCGAUUCGGAACCGGAAACCGGCGGUUUGAGAAAUCCGAACCGUAACCGAACCGGGCGAGCACGGUUUCGAUUUCGGUUCGGAACCGUGUAUCACGGUUCCGGUUCCAGAACCGUCCCGGAUGGUCCGGUUUUCCGGUUCGGUUCCCGGUUCCGGUUUUUUUGGCCACCUCUAGUAGUACACAGGUCCUAGCUAAGACAUUUCCCAGUUUGCGGUAGCUAAUGGCAUAGUCAACGCCCGAGCAAAAUUGCAGGUUUUCCCUUUCCAUACUAUCUAUUUAGCUGUGCGAUUUUACCUUCUCAAUGCAAACCAUAAGAUCCUACUUCUGAUCUAUCACGCCAUGAGGUGAGCCUUAAUUAAUUUAGAAGAAAAUAGAAAUUCAUGAGUAGCUGGGUUUUUUUUUUUAGCAAUGUGCUUAUUUGACUUUAUGGGAAUUACUUAUAGAUUUGCCUCCUAAUGUUCCUAGUUUUCGAUUUAUAAGCAAGUUCCGAUGAAUUGAAAGUUGAGUAGCCGGAAUUGCGCUUGAUAAGUUACAUGAAGUUGAUUGGAUUUGAUUUUAUUGUCAAAAUUUAACCUUACAAAAGUGUUAUACUUCCUGCUGGAUAAUUGAAUCUAUUGAUUAUAUUUCACUUUUAUGUGCCAAACGUUUUAGCUACUUUGUUUCAGCUGAAGCUUUUGCAUAUUAUCUGUGAAUAUAUAUGGGGAAUUCAACUAUUUCCUAUAAUGUUAAGAUUGCCAACUUCAGUAAUGUUCGAGUUGAACGAACAUUUAUAUAUCCAAAGAAAGCAACUGAUUAACUGAUUAGUUUUUGAAAUGUAGAAAAAGAAGUUUGUAUCUUUGAGAUACUCUGAAGCUGCUAAGUCUAAAACUGUGCUUUCGAUGUCUCUAAUUGUAGUCUCCACAGUUCUGACAGGUCUCAAAACCAGGAGAUGAAAUCUGAUCAGGCUGGGGUCAAUGUAGACAAUAAAGAAUCAAAAGCUCAACUGAUUGAAAUCAUAAUAUCUUCUUUUGAUCAAAAGUUAGAUAAGUUGUCUGUAGAUCCUUCAUAUUCGUAUGCAGCAUGUAUCUAUAGAGUUUCUGAGAAGCUCCGGAAAGCAAAUGAAGGAGCAUAUACUCCUCGAUUGGUGUCAAUUGGUCCACUUCAUCACGAUAUAGCCCAACUUCAAGGCAUGGAGGCUUCCAAAUUGAAAUUCAUGCAUAAUUUCUUGAGCAGAUUUGGAAUUGGGAUGCAUACCUUAGUCAAAUUUGCAGCAAAGGAAGAAAGCUUUGUUCGCGGCUGCUAUGAGGGUAAAGUUGACCUUUCUUUAAGCAACUCACAGAGGUGAUUCUGUUGGACGGGAUAUUCAUCGUUGAACUUUUUCUGCAAAGCUAUUUCUCACAGCUGAGAGACAAAAACGAGACAGUAUUUGAAAAUCAGUGGAUCCACAAUAAUUUGUUGCAUGAUAUGUUGUUGCUAGAGAAUCAGCUACCUAUAAGAAUAAUGAAAAGCCUGAUGAAUUUUGUGGAUCUUUCAUUCUUGAACGAAGGCACCAUGCUCACCAUCUAUGAUCUUGCUCAUAGUUUCUUCAAGAAUGUUGGUAAUACACACAAGGUACCACUGACAGCGCGCUGUAAUAAUGCUAGGCAUUUUGUUGAGCUUCUUCUAAUUCUUCACGCUCCAACAGAGAAACGGUGCUUUCUACGGAAAAGAUGAGGAAAAACCGUCUCCAACUAGAAAGUUUGAGUAUUCUCGAAGUGCAACGGAGCUACAAGAAGCUGGAGUCACGUUUCGUGGUGGGAAAGGGGAUUGUUUGCUUGAGGUUUCCUUUCCACUAGUAGACGGAGAAGGAGGUUGCUUGUUUAAGCUUUUGUGUGAACAAGGAGGUGUGUUGACGAUCCCCAAAUUGAGAGUUGAUGAGUUGAGCGAGACAUUCUUCCGGAAUCUUGUAGCCUUUGAGCAGUUGGGCCAUUUUGGGUACUUUUCCAAAUAUAUUACAAGUUAUGUCAUACUCAUGGAUAGCUUCAUAGACACUUCGAGUGAUGUUGAGCUACUUGAGCAUCAUGGCAUCAUCGAGAAUAAAUUAGGCAAUAGCCAACAAGUAGCAGACCUGUUUAACCAUCUUCACAAGGAAGUUGUGACUGAAGCAAACGAUUUCUAUUUUGCUGAGCUUUGUGGAGAUUUGAAUGACUACAGCAAGGAUUGGCUUCACCAGUGGAAAGCCAGUUGGUUCAGAUCGAAAGUGGCAUUGAGAAGAAUUAUUUCAGCAGUCCUUGGUCCUCCUUAUCUGUUGCUGCCGCGACCGUGUUGCUCAUUCUUACAGUAAUUCAAACAGUCUGUUCAAUUCUGCAGGUAUUGUUUCACAUCUCAUCACAUUUUCCUACCAUUUAUUGUUUCAGAAUAUAAUGCUCAUCAAGUCUCUAAUGAUUGCUUACUUGUGUUAUAGUUGUGUCUUCUCAAGAUUCAUGCCCAACAUCCAUUCUGCUAAAAAUAUUUAUUUAAUUGUUUGUAAGGGAGUUUCUUUUUUUAAAUGGUUACUUUGGAUGAUAUGAUAGGGAUGACAACUGGAAAAAUAUUCAGCUCGAUUGGUUUGAAUUGAAUAGCUUGAGUGUCCGAUAAGAUUGGCAAGAAAUUGAUUAAUUUUGAACUUAUUUAAUCAUCUAAUCUUUAAAAUGUUACUAGUAUAUUUUAGUGCCAGUAUUAAUGUCUGAAAACUCUUAAACACUUGAGCCUUUUUAUUCUUCUCUUUUUCCCUUUCUAGCUUUAAAAAUUAUUCUUGAGCUCUGAUCUUGUUUUUCAUUUUAGGUUUGAUGAGCAGGAGUAUUAAUUAGGAGCCUUAAUAUUUGUAGAGAAGGAAAAGUUAUGUGAGAUGCUCUUGGUAACACCUUAUCGUCUUCAGCUGGUUGUCUUCACCUUGUAUAUAUUAUUCAAACUUUUAUUUGUAUUGAAUUUGCGAUGUUGCAAAUGACAUUUUAAUGAUUGUAUAUUAGAAAUCGAUAUCAAUUGUAUUUCUCAGUUUAUUUAAUUGGUGAUUUUUCUAUAUCUAAUGGGGUGAUUUGUUUGUACAACUAUAAAACUAGGAACUAUAAUAGUAUAAUUAACGAUUAAAGAAAAAAUAAAUGAAAAGUCACACCAUCAUCGUUUUUGCCAUUUACUUAAUAAUAUACGAUUAUAAGAAUCAAUUAGGAUUCUAUGAAUCAGAUUCAGAUUUCAGAAUAUCCAAUUGUAAAUUAGACACCGAUUUUAUUCUUCUUGUCAAAGUAUCUAAUCUAAAAGCCAAUGCCCUGAAAUGACCCUUUUGCCCUUGAUUCAUGGGUUUUGCUUUCGUUUUUCUACGGUUUUUAUUGUUUGAUCGAAUCUUAUUGAAGUCAUGGAAUAUUUUUGUAAUUAUUCUAAUUCAUACCCAUUCACACGCGUGCGAAUCUUUCUUUUUGCAUAAUUAAACUUUUUUAAGUAUAAGUUUUUUACACGUGAAUAUGGAUUCUAUUUUAGAAAAAUUGGAUGUAUCGACUAUAGGGUUAAUUUCCCCUUUACAUUUUUAUCCAGAAAUAGUUUAACGCAUCUUGACUACAUAAAAAAGUUUGCCAUUAGAUUUUUUUGAGCUCUAUAUUCCAUUAUAAAGGUAUCUCAAUUUUUUCAAUAUAUAUUACCAUUUAGUAAAGAAUUACUUGUCAAAUUUAACACAACAUUUCACUAAAUUUACAAUUAGAAUAUUACUUGUAAAAUGUUAAUAUUCUUGCAUUAAUAUUCUUUUAUACAUAUACUUUUUCAUGUUAAUGCUUUCGACAUAUGGUACUACUGCUUUUUUAUAUCGAAAUAAUAAAUUAUACAAAAAUUAAUAAUCCAUCAAAUUUUUAUUAAAUCAGAGGAAAAAAAAAUCGAUUCCCAACAACUUAAUUAAUAGCUGUAUGCUGGUGUAAUAUUUUCAACAAAAUCCAAUUGAAGGGGAGACCGAACUAGGAAGUCAAUGUCAACUGCUUUCGGUAUUUAAAGCAUAAAAUUAAUAAUGUAAACGAAAUCCAGAUUGGCAUAAAUACACAAUUAUCGUAUAAUAUAAAUUUAUUAUAAACAUUAUAGAUCCAUUAUAAAAUGACGAGUUCAAAAAAUUAAAAUUCCCAUCCCUUAUAUGAGAUUCGAACUAUAUGUCAUAAAUUCAUUCAAAAAUUAAAUUUACAAUAAUUUUUUAAUUGAAAAUAGUUCAUACUUUAUAUUCUCAUAAUCUCUUAAAUAUAUUGAUCUUUUGCUAUUUCGAUACGUAUCAUAAAUUACUUUUCAAUUUUAUAUGUUGGCCCACCACAAACCGCCGCCUGUUUUCUCACUAUAUUUUUUUUUUAUUUUUUAUACAACUAUUCAUUUAAUAUUUUUAAAGUCCCGUUCCAUCAAUAAUACAUAAAUAAAAUAUUAUUUCAUACAAUAUAAACUCAUUUGAACUAUUCCCAAUAAAAAGCAAAUGAAAAGUCUUGUUCCAUCUCCUAAAAAAAAAAAAGUCUUGUUCCAUACUUCCAUUAAUCAAAAUUUGCCGCAAUUCGAACUCUAAUCAAACACAAAUCAACAAAGAAAAGUCAAACUUGACGCCUCCUUCCCUUAUCUAUAAAUACCGUACUCCCAAAACUUAGUGCGCACACACACAUAUAGUAAUUAACAAUCCCUCUCCCUCUCUCUCUCUCUAUCUUAAAGAAAAAGCCAUGAGUUCCCUCAACUGCUCAGCCGAGCAGCUGGCGCCGCUCUUCGGCCCCAACGCCACGAACGCCGUCGCCGCCGCGCAAUACAUCUGCGGCCAGUUCGACACCGUCUCCGAAAACUUCGCGAACACCGGCUUCGCCAUCGACACUACGUACCUCCUCUUCUCCGCCUACCUCGUCUUCUCCAUGCAGCUCGGCUUCGCCAUGCUCUGCGCCGGCUCCGUCCGCGCCAAGAACACCAUGAACAUCAUGCUCACCAACGUCCUCGACGCCGCCGCCGGUGGCCUCUUCUACUACCUCUUCGGCUUCGCCUUUGCCUUCGGCGCCCCAUCCAACGGCUUCAUCGGCCGCCACUUCUUCGGCCUCAAAGACGUCCCCACCGACGCCUUUGACUACAGCAACUUCCUCUACCAGUGGGCCUUCGCCAUCGCCGCCGCCGGCAUCACCUCCGGCUCCAUCGCCGAACGCACCCAAUUCGUGGCUAUCUAAUCUACUCCUCCUUCCUGACCGGGUUCGUUUACCCGGUCGUCUCACACUGGUUCUGGUCCGGAGACGGUUGGGCCAGCCCGACCAACACGGGUAACUUAUUAUUCGGAACCGGAGUCAUCGACUUCGCCGGGUCGGGCGUGGUUCAUAUGGUAGGCGGUAUUGCCGGUCUAUGGGGAGCUUUAAUAGAAGGCCCGAGAAUUGGCCGGUUCGACCAUUCCGGCCGGGCCGUGACCCUCCGCGGCCACAGCGCUUCUCUAGUAGUUUUAGGAACCUUCCUUUUAUGGUUCGGGUGGUACGGGUUCAAUCCCGGUUCAUUCAACAAAAUCCUAAUCCCCUACGCUACUAGAAGCUACUACGGCCAGUGGUCCGCCGUGGGGAGAACGGCGGUUACCACCACUCUAGCCGGCUGCACGGCGGCUCUGACGACUCUAUUCGGAAAACGGAUCCUCUCCGGCCACUGGAACGUGACGGACGUCUGCAACGGGCUUUUAGGCGGAUUCGCGGCGAUCACGGCAGGCUGCUCGGUGGUGGAGCCGUGGGCGGCGGUGGUGUGCGGAUUCGUGGCGGCGCUGGUGCUGAUCGGUUGCAAUAUGCUGGCGGAGCGGCUCAAAUUCGACGAUCCGCUCGAGGCGGCUCAGCUGCACGGCGGCUGCGGCGCGUGGGGGGUGAUCUUCACGGCGCUGUUCGCGACGGAGAAGUACGUGAACGAGGUGUACUCGGGCAAGCCGGGGCGGCCGUACGGGCUGUUCAUGGGCGGCGGCGGGCGGCUGCUGGCGGCGCAUUUGAUCCAGAUCCUGGUUGUGGCCGGGUGGGUCAGCGCACCAUGGGCCCUUUGUUCUACAUUUUGCAUCGGCUUAAGCUGCUCCGGAUCUCCAAGGAGGAUGAGCUAGCGGGUAUGGAUCUGACCCGGCAUGGCGGGUUUGCUUACGUGUACGAAGAUGACUCGCAUAAGCAAGGGAUUCAAAUGAGGAGAGUAGAGCCAACUCAGCCAAGUCCUAACUCCAACCAAAUUUAGAAAAAAAAUUGUGUCAAGGGUUUAAUCUCUAUUUUAUUUUUAAUUUUUUUAGAUGAGGGAAAUUCGAGAGUGUGUAGUAUUGGACAAAAAUGCAAAUCCUCCUAUUUAGUGUAUUAAUUACUUCAAUGAUAUGCAUAUUUCUGUUAUAUGUGCUAUUUGUGUAAGCAUAAAAAAUAUUUGGUAGUGUGUAAAGAAUUUGAAAGAAAUGUGGAAUGGUAAAUAUUUGGAUUGAGUUUGAUAUUUGAGUGUUUGUAAAUAUAAUGUGAACAUAAUUUUGUUGAAGUUAAUUAAUUUUAUUAUGUUUUUGACUAUUCUAAACCAUAGUACAAGUCUUUAGUUAUAAUGGGAGCACUAUGAAUUAAAUGGUGGUGUCUUACUAGGGAGAUGUGACAUCAAAAUUUCGACUUUUUGUUCACUUUCCUUUUUCUUUUCUUUUUGUGAAAAGGAUAUCAUUUUAGUUUUGUAUGACUACAUUAAUUAUUAGGUAUGGGUUGAGGCGUUGAGCCUUAUUCUUUUAUUGACCACGUCUGUGCAGUCACAUGUCGACUGUCGUGUAUAAUUAAGAAGCAUAAUAUUUAUUGAUUUAAUCAUUAAAUUAUCGACGUAUCUCAAGCCAAUUUAUGUAUUGGUUUCCAACUAAGUAACCGUGCAGUUGAAUUAAUUAGAUUCUCGUUUGAUGUUGUAUUUUAUAUUUUAUCUAUAUUUAUUAGUUAUGUAUAUAUAUUAGUUGUCAAAUUAAUCAAAGUAUUGACGUGUGUAUUAUUAGUCAACUAAAUCAAGGAAUUUCAUCUGUAGCCAUUGGUAUUGUAAUGUAGUUUUUAAGCACUGUUAGAUUUACAAUUUGAAAUACUAAGUCAUUUCUUUUUUAAUUUGAAAAAAGUUCAAGCAAAUUUUAUUGUAUAUUACAAAGUGUAGUGAUUAACUAACAUUAAACAUAAGAUCUGAGAGCGUCCAAUACAACGAUGCUACUGUAUGGAUGUUGAUGCUCUUUUUUACCUGAACUGUCAUGCUUUUGGGACAUGAGUGAUUAUCAGAGAUUAUGAAGGACAAGUUAAGAUUGUUGUUGCGAAGAAGACAAUGCCAAAGUCAAGCAACGCAAUGGGAGAAAUUAUCACGGUCGUGUAUGGUAUCAUUACUAGUAUGGAACAUUACCUCAUACGUAUUGAGAUUUUUACAGACUCUAGGUACGCUGCAAGAGUGACAGCGCGAGAGGAAGAUGAAGAGAAGUUUCUCCCAAGUGACAUCCGUGAAAUUUUGUCUUCAACUAGAGAGAAAUUUCUGGUGAAUGUGCGUCAUAUGUAUAAAAUGACGAAUAGAGCCAUUCAUAGUCUUACUCAAUUUGCUCGUUUUUGUUCUGAGUCGAUUUCAUGGACCCAUGAUUUUCCUAGUUAGAUUAGGGACAUUAUUUUUUAUCAUCUUACUUGAAUAAAAGUUUGUCUUUUACCUAAAAAGAAAUAUACGCUGCAUGUUAGCUUAGCGCAUGUAUUUUAUUUAUUUAUUUUCUAUCAAUUAUAAAAAUCAUAAACUUUUAAUUAUAAUGAUAUUUGUGUGUUAUUAGUUUAUUUAAUGUUGUUGCUUUUCUCUAUGAAUAGGAAAGAUGUGGAGAAUCCCAUAGCGCGAGAAUAUCAUCUCUCUCAAGAACGUGUAGAAUCUUUUUUUAAUUAAAUUCAUUAAAUGGGGAAAAUAAUAAUGAUAGACUGGUAGUGCCCCCCACAUCAUGGCAAAUGACAUCUCACAAUUUGUGUUUCUGCCUAAAUAUUUAUUAUACAUGCUGCUUUAUUAAUGUAGCCAAACUGCCCAUAGAAUUUAAUUCAAGUGGGAAAAUUGAAGCAUUGAAUUUUUUUUAAAGAAGUUUUAGGUUCAAUCCCGUCUGCAUACGAAUAAAUUUUUAAUUUUUAUGUGAAUAAUAAUUUCACCCGCGUAUGGAUAAUUUUCCUACUUUUGUGUGGUGUAGAAGUUCUGUUUUCGUACGAAUUGCUUAUUUGAUUAUAUAAUAAAUACCUCUUAUAAUUCUAAAAAAAAAUAUAGCCGUACAGUCUUCCUCAAUUCUCAUUGAUGUUAUUUUAGUUGAUAACUCCAUCUUAACUCUUACUCCCUUAUUACGGCUUAACUCUUACUCUCUUAUUACGAUUUAUUUUUCUUUUUUAUCUGUCUCAUUAAUAAUAUAAUUCAGUCCAAAAAAAAAAAAAUCACUUCUCUCACAAAAAAUUAUGAGCUUGAUCUAUUUUCUACCACUUUUAUCAUUUAAUCGCUUUUUCUUUUUAAUAACCAUGCAUAAUAAGUAAUUCAUUAUUAAUAAGACAAAGAGAGUAGUAUUUUUCGAUCUGAACAUUGAUGCUUAUUGAAUUUGAGUUUAAUUAUCAAAUCUCAGCUAUAAUAUUUCACACACUUGGGUAGGAAUGUCAGUUUUACCCGAUACCUGCCCUGGUGGGGACGGGGACGAAGUAUUAGGGAUGAGGUCGGGUUUGGGUAUAUAUUGUUACAAAACUUGGGUCCAAUUACCUUGAUCAAUAGGCUUUAGUGUUAGGUUUCUUUUGUAAAAUUAUGAGGGGAUUCAUCAAAAUCAAAAUCAAAAUCAAAAACAAAAAAAAUCCACUCUCUCUUAUAAUCAGUUUUUUUUAAUUGAUUAGCUUGAUCUUUUCAUUUUUUACAAAUUUACCAUAGAGAUUCAAACCCGACUCAACAAUAUAUUUAACGAUAUGUCAUUUUUUUUUUAUCAAGAAAAUGCAUAAAUAAACGAUAUGUCAUUUACUAUAUAACAAAUGGAUAUAAUAUUUGAUAGUAUGUAUUAGAAUGAUAUUUAAUUAAUAUUUAUUAUAAUUAUGAAUUGUAUUACAUAUAUCACUUAUGAGAUAUAUAGUGUGUAUAAAUUCACAUAGAUUUUUAUAAUAUUUUUAAAAUUUUGAUUACAUAAAAAAUAUAAAUUUUAUAUGAAAUAAAAUAUUAGAGUGUUAUAGAUAUAUUAUAGAUCCAUGCCAGACCAAGUGACCAACGACAAAAUUGUUNUCUAAACCCUAAAGGGAUAAUCUAAAUCAUAAAUGGAAUAUAUAAACCCUAGGGGAGUGUUUAAAAAGUUUCUUUUGGCUUGGGGGUGGGUGGGGUCGGGGUCUGGGGGGUAGACAGGGCAGGGGGAGUAAAAAAAAUUUACGUUGGCACUUAUGGCACUAAUAGUGCCAUAAGUGCCUAACCCGACCCGCGUGCCUAAUCCUACCCGGCACGCGACCCGCGCUCCUGACCCUACCCAGUCCGCCCAAUUAGGGGUAUAUUAGGCAUAUUGCCUAAUUAAUGGCCAUAAUUUAUGUUUUUUCAAUUAGUGGCCAAAUAUUGUGUUUGCAUGUUCAAUGUGGUCAUUUGACACCAUUGUUUCUAUUAUAUAUCCAUGCCAGACCAAGUGACCAACGACAAAAUUGUUGAAUUAUACUAAUAUUAGAACAGUUUUUGUAAAUGUGCUGAAUUGGCCCCAGUGAAUCUGAUCUGACAGCUGCGUAUCCUAAACAAAUAUGAAAUCAACUAACACAAAAGAUAAAAACCAAAUUAAUUUUCUAGAUAAAUGGAAAGCAUAAAAACAACCUUGACUAACUCGACCAACAGUAAAUUUGAUUAAUUUCAAUGGGUAGGUCAAUGAAUCAAUUAUAAUUGGCGUUCACGCGAUUAAAGGAUAUAGUAUUACUCUUACUUUUUAUCUGGAUGUGAUUUUGAUUGGACAUAGAAUAUGAUGUUUAAUCAAAAAUGGUUUCACUUAACAAAAUAUGAAGUUUAUUUCAAGCCAAGAAGAAGAGGUCGUAAAAUUUUAAAAUAGGAUUUAGAUCGAAGAAUUUGACUUAAGAACACUCUAUAAAAUAAAAGCACCCCUAAUUAUCCGGAAAUAAUUUAAAAAUGAAAUAAUGAAUUUUAAGUUCACAUUGAAUAUUGAUGAACUCGUCCAAAUUCACUUUCAAAUCCUCUAAUCUAGAUAAAAUUAAAUUUGAAUGUAUUAGAUUAGUUGGUUAUUAUUGCUAGCAGCUAGAUGUAUAUAAAUUCGUUACCACAUUAAUUAAAAUACAUAAUUAAAAGGAGAUGAAAUUUUGGAGUCCAUAAUUAAAGUUUCAAUUUGUAUAUUCCUAUUUAAAUUUUUAUUAAUAUGAAGAUAUAUAAGAGAAAUCUUAUUUUAAAAAAUUAAUCAUUACUGUUACAAACUUUAUCAAAACUCGGAAUAUAUAAGAUAUGAGAUAAUUGGAAAUUCAGCCGUGGGCCAAAGGAUUCUAUCUUGAUCUAACCUACUUAAUUAAUAAGGAUAUAAUAAGAGAAUUAACAUUAAUUUCGCCCCUCAUAAUACACUUAGCUACAAUUAUUCAAAUUUAUGUCACUUUAUCCUGCAACUAUUAUGGCAGAACAAAUGGAGUAUUUAGUGUUGACCUUUUUUUUUCUUUAAAUUAUAAGCGAUAUCUGUUAUAUAAUCAAAUAAGUAACUCGCAUGCAGACGAAAUCUCUACAUCACACAGGAAUAGAAAAUUAACUACAUGAUGCAGACGGAACCACUAUCCACACAAAAAUUAAAAAACUAUCCACAUAAAGGUGAAAAAAUUAUCUGCACAUAGAUAAAAUUAUACCCAAAAUCUCUUAGUAUAAAAGAAAGUUUUUGAAUGUAUCAGCUUUGCGGCCUCAUUGGCAACACUUGACCUUUUUUAAUAUCGUGCCGUUUUUAAUUUUUUGGUAUAUUAAUAUACAUUAACUUUCUUUUUCCUAAUAAUUUACGUGGCAAGUUGAAUCUAGUAUAGGUAUACUACCCCUACAAUCUCAUAUUUAUACAUAUAUUUUCAUAUCAAAUUUUGAAUUCAGACGGCGUGACAUUAUUGAAAAGAUUUUGAAAUGUAUUGUAUGCUAAUUUAUCAACAAAAACAUUGGAAAAAAAAAGGGGGGUUAUUGCCGAAAAAUACAUGUAGUUUGUCAAUUUUCUGGUUUAUAACAUGACUUUAUAAUUUGACCAGAAAAUACAUCAAUUUUCAAUUUAAUCGCAAUUAUAACAUGACUUUAUAGUCUGACAAGAAAAUACACCAAGUUUCAAUUUAUUCUCAAUUAUAACAUGACCUUGUAAUUAAUUUAGUAUAAUAAUAUCAAAGUUUAAUACAUUAAAUAUUUUUAAUUUUCUUUUCAUCUCACAAUAUACUAUAUAUAUAUAUACAUAUAUAUUUGAUAAAUAUACAUCUAUAUGUAAAUAAUAUAUAAUAUUAUUUACUUUUUAACAUAGUUUCUAUUAUAUAUGUACCUAAAUUAUUUAUUGGUCCUAAUAUUUUAUAAUUUCAUAAUUUAAAUAAAUAAAUACUUAUUAUAUAUGUAAUAUAUUAAUAGAAUAUUAAAAUCAAAUUUAUAUAUAUAUAUAUAUAUAUGCAUGUGUGUGAAAUAUGUAUAAUAUAUAUAUAUAUAUAUAUAUAUAUUAUAAAUAAUUAAUCAUCUAACUUAAUUUUUAUAAAAAUUAAUCAAUCAAUUAACAAUAUUUUAUACAUAACAAUUUAAUAUAAAUACAAUAAAUAUUAAUACAUCUAUGACUAAAAAUAAUCUAAAUAAGGUAUGUUAUAAUUGAGAAUAAAUUGAAACUUUGGUGAUUUUCUUGUCAGAUUAUAAAGUCAUGUUAUAAUUGCGAUUAAAUUGAAAAUUGAUGUAUUUUCUGGUCAAAUUAUAAAGUCAUGUUAUAAACCAGAAAAUUGACAAACUAUAUGUAUUUUCCGAUAAUAACCCCUUAAGGAAAAAUAGCAAACUUAUUUUAUAUUACCCUUAUAUACUGCAGAUAAAUUCAAAUUAUUACAUAAAAAAACAAAAUCAAAUUGCCCGACCCAAAUAUGCUAAUUAAUUUCGAAAGACACUUUCACUAAUGGACUCAUAGUUUAGCAACUUACGCUGUUAUUUUUUCAAGAUAUAUCAUGAUUUGAAGGUUUAACUUUUGGGCCUUGAUUUUUGAAUAUUGUACAUUUAAAUUUAGAAUAAUUAGUUAGCAUUUUUUCCUCCCAAAAAGAAAAUCAUUUAUGAAAAAAAUAAUUAAUAAUUAAUUAUUUAGAUGAUUAACACAAUCUAGAGUAAUAAGAUCUUUGUAAGUACGAUUCGUGAAAACUGAAAAGCCACUAGUCAGAUUGUUUUGGGGUGUUCUGAGCUCUGACACAGGUGACUGAAAUUGGAUUUUACAACACAACUGUCUGCCAGAUUAUUUAAAAGUUACCCAAAGAUACACUAUAUAUUUUAAAGUAAAAUUAAGAUGGUAUUUAUUCGGCACGAUUGGAUUUUUAAGAUAUUAAAAUGGAUAAAACGCAAUUACAAUAUCUGUAGUUUCUGUUUUUCUUUUUUUCUUUUUCGUAUUAGUGAACUUAACUGGUGCAAAUAGUUUUCCCUUCCGAAAAUGUUUAAUCUUUUGCUCUAUCCGCCCCAUUUCAAAUGGCUUGUUUCUUUUCGACACAUUAAUUUAAGAAAAUGUUAAUUGAAUUAUUAAGCGGUGUAGACUGUAGUGUAACGUUGAAAAGGUUAUAUGGACCCAAAGAUAGAUAUUACUUCUUUUGUCCACAAAAAAAUAUCACAACAAAGGAUGCCACGAUUUUUUAAAAAAUUUGUACUGUUUAAAUAGUGACUGGAAAAAAGGGUCCACAAAUUAAGAAAAAUAAAAAAAUUAAUUAAGUUAGUGAGUGGAAAAAGUGACCCACGAAUUUUUUUUUUACUUGGGGGAGUUGGGGAGGGGAAGCAGUGGGGUUUGAACCCGGGACCUCACUGUUCACAUACAGGAGGUCGCACCGCUUGGUGUUUCCCUUGGGGACAGUAGCUCACGAAUUAGUGAGUGGAAAAAGAAAAUCACAAAUUAUUACUAAAAAUAAAUUAGAAUAUCUUUUAUGAAUGAACUAAAUGAUAAAUUAAGAUAUAUUUUAAUGGACAGAGGGAGUACCACUUUUAUACCUUAUUAUUUCUGUAUUUUUACCUAACGCCUCAACGUAUGAAUAUUUAUAAUGCGGUUUUCAUACCAUCAUUUCUUUUUCAAACACAUUCGUACCGAAAGAAAAAAAUUGAAAAUUAAUUAAAAAUUAAACAAACAUAAAAUUAAUAGUCAAUUUGUGAGAUAGUCAUAUUGAGUAAUGAAACAUAAUUUUUGGCCAUUUUUAUGUUUUAUAACUAUUUUGCCCUUAAUUAGGGUGGAUCGUAUUAGGAUUUGCGCGCGUGUUGCCGCGGGGAAACGCGGCGUGAGCGAGAGCGUGCGAGGGAGAGAAGGUGCGGCCGCUGGCUUUCUAGCGGCUGCGAGGCUACGUGGCAGUUGGUACAAAUAGGUAAAUUCGUGUCAAUUGUAUCAUUCGUUAUGGUCAUUAAUUUAUGUUAAGAGAAAGGGCACAAAGGAAGAGCGCGGCCGUGGAGCAACACGGCGCGAGCGAGAGAGGGCAAGGGAGAGAAAGGCGCGGCCACUGGCUUUGCCUGCGACUGCGGGUAGUGAGCGAAGGAGAGAAUGGGCGCGGACAAGGAUAUUUUGGACCGAAAUUGUAAAAAUUGGCCAUGAUUUGUGUUUUUCAAAUGUGUUAAUCAAAAAUUGAGUUUAAUUGCUUAAUAAUGCUAUAUGAAUGCAUAUUCUCUAAAAUUAAUAUACCGAUGUCAAAUUUAUUUAUUUGUAUUUAAGUUUGAAGUUAAAAAUUAUGGAUUCUAGAAUGCGGUUUUUAAUCUAAACAACACUCAAAAAAAAAAAAAAGGAAGAUGUGUCCAAUUUACAAGUUACAACUUACAACUAUAUUCAGAUUCUACGAAUUCUUUUGGCAACGAAUAAUGUUCCAAAACACCAUUAAUUGUUUUGCUCGUUGGAAGCUAAGUCCACCAAGGAAAAUUUUUUCCCGCAUUAGGAUGCAAUACUUCAUCCUACAACCUGUGUCACACUUUUAAUUUCACUAUAUUUUAUAAUUUUUUAUUACUAUAAAAAUAAAAGGCUAUAUAAUCAAUUUUAAUUAGUAUUUAUUAUUAUAAAUUAAAACUUAAAAAAAUCAUCUACCCUAAUAAUAAAUCAUUAAUAUAAAUAAAUGUAAAAGAAUAAUUAACUAUAAACUAUAAUUGAAUGAGUGAAUAUCUUGUAUUUUUACUAUAUAGUACUCCCUCCGUCCCAAACGAAAUGACCUAUUUCUUUUCGGCACAGAGAUUAAGAAAUGUGUAUAAAGUAGAUAAAGUGGGUUGGUGAAAAUUAUUNUUUCAGAAAAAUUAAAAAAUUAAUUAAGUUAGUGAGUGGAAAAAGUGGCCCACUAUUUUUUUUUUAUUUGGGGGAGUUGGGGAGGGAAAGCAGUGGGGUUUGAACCCGGGACCUCACUGUUCACAUACAGGAGGUCGCACCGCUUGGUGUUCCCCUUGGGGACAGUAGCUCACGAAUUAGUGAGUGGAAAAAGAAAGUCACAAAUUAUUACUAAAAAUAAAUUAGAAUAUCUUUUAUGAAUGAACUAAAUGAUAAAUUAAGACAUAUUUUAAUGGGCAGAGGGAGUACCACUUUUAUACCUUAUUAUUUCUGUAUUUUUACCUAACGCCUCAACGUAUGAAUAUUUAUAAUGCGGUUUUCAUACCAUCAUUUCUUUUUCAAACACUUUCGUACUGAAAGAAAAAAAAUUGAAAAUUAAUUAAAAAAUAAACAAACAUAAAAUUAAUAGUCAAUUUGUGAGAUAUUCAUAUUGAAUAAUGAAACAUAAUUUUUGGCUAUUUUUAUGUUUUAAAACUAUUUUGCCCUUAAUUAGGGUGGAUCGUAUUAGGAUUUGCGCGCGUGUUAGGUACAUUUGGCACUAUUAUGGCAAUUUGUGUCAAGAGGACGCGGUUGCGGAGAGAGGUGCAGCCGUUGACUUUUCAGCGGCCGCGGGGAAACACGGCGUGAGCGAGAGCGUGCGAGGGAGAGAAGGUGCGACCGCUGGCUUUCCAGCGGCUGCGAGGCUACGUGGCAGUUGGUACAAAUGGGUAAAUUCGUGCCAAUUGUAUCAUUCGUUAUGAUCAUUAAUUUAUGCUAAGAGAAAGGGCGCAAAGGAAGAGCGCGGCCGUGGAGCAACACGGCGCGCAAGAGAGGGCAAGGGAGAGAAAGGCGCGGCCACUGGCUUGCCUGCGACUGUGGGGCAGUGAGCGAAGUAGAGAAUGGGCGCGGACAAGGAUAUUUUGGACCGAAAUUGUAAAAAAUGGUCAUAAUUUGUGUUUUUCAAAUGUGUUAAUCAAAAAUUGAGUUUAAUUGCUUAAUAAGGCUAUAUGAAUGCAUAUUCUCUAAAAUUAAUAUACCGAUGUCAAAUUUAUUUAUUUGUAUUUAAGUUUAAAGUUAAAAAUUACGGAUUCUAGAAUGCGGUUUUUAAUCUAAACAACACUAAAAAAAACAAAAAUAGGAAGAUGUGUCCAAUUUACAAGUUACAACUAUAUUCAGAUUCUACGAAUUCUUUUGGCAACGAAUAAUGUUCCAAAACACCAUUAAUUGUUUUGCUCGUUGGAAGCUAAGUCCACCAAGGAAAAUUUUUGCCCGCAUUAGGAUGCAAUACUUCAUCCUACAACCUGUGUCACACUUUUAAUUUCACUAUAUUUUAUAAUUUUUUAUUACUAUAAAAAUAAAAGGUUAUAUAAUCAAUUUUAAAUAGUAUUUAUUAUUGUAAAUUAAAACUUAAAAAAAUCAUAUACCCUAAUAAUAAAUCAUUAAUAUAAAUAAAUGUAAAAGAAUAAUUAACUAUAAACUAUAAUUGAAUGAGUGAAUCUUAAUUAUCUUGUAUUUUUACUAUAUAGUAAUAAAUUAAAAUUAAAGAAAAAAUAACUAAAAAUUAAAAAUAGAACUCGAUAAAUACAAUAAGUUGUGGAACAGAGGAUCCAAUGUAAUGUUAGCCAGCUUCUCUUCACCUGAGGAUUUUUUGGGAUUAAUUAAAAAGUCAAUAUAUCAAAAUAGUCAUAUUUUUAUAUUGUGAAUAUAAAAUAUUAACUAUAAAAAAAUAUGAAAAAAGUUAUUUUUUGACUAAAACUAUUAGGAACUACUUUUUAUAUCUACUAUAUUAAAAUGAUUAUUUUAUUAAUCCAUUCAUAAUUAAUAACAAACUAAUACCGUAAUUAAGUUUGUGCCAUCAAUAGGGGUGAGCAUCGGUUCGGUUCGGUGCAAAACCGAACCAAAAACCCAAAACCGAAAACCGAACCGAUGCUCAAAUUGGGCACCGAACCGCACCAAUCAUAGUCCCAAAACCGAACCGAAACCGAACUGGAAAAACCGUCGGUUUCGGUUCGGUUCACCGAACCGACCACAAUUUGGGCUGCCACAAAUUGGAAAAACCUAUCUCUUCUCAAUUCACAAAAUUAUGGUUGCGCCUCCCUCCCUUUAAUCUCGUCUCUCUCUUUGUUCUCACCAUACACGCACACAACGCACGCAGGCGCCGGCGACACCGUUGUCGGCCCUCCGGCUUCGUCUCUUGCUCCACCAACUGACACCCCACAUCUCCCUCGACCACUCUGACUCACAAACACACAACUCACGAAGGUAGAGGCUGGUACUCCCUUCCGCCACACGCCCACAAAAUAGUCAACGGCGGCGCUGCACCCUUCCCCGAUGAGGGCAGCCGCCGCCUGACCCCCCUUUUCCUAAGCCCCUCUUCUUCCUCUGAUUUCUCCGCCACACGCACACAAAUAAAUUCAUGGAGAUGAGAAACACAGACGGUGCCUGGUGGACGGCGCCGCUGGAGGCCGGAAGAGCCGAAGAGGUGAAGGCGAUGGGCGGACGGCGCCGGUAGGGAGGAGGAGGACGUGCGAAAUGGAGGAGGAGGAGAAUUGAGAAUUCUGAUUUCUGAAAUCACUGAUGCGGCGCAGCAGAUGUUAGGAAUAGGAUUUAGGGUUUUUUCUUUACAAAGUUAAAUAUCUAUUGUAAAAUAUAAAUAUUUAAUAUAAUAUUAAUAUUAGUCGGUUCGGUUCGGUGCAAAACCGAACCAAAAACACAGCACCGAAACCGAACCGAAAAUUUUCGGUUUUCAUCUUUAGGAACCGAACCGAACCGACCACCAGUAGAAUAGGCACCAAACCGCACCAAUAGGGUUCGGUUCGGUUCGGUUUUGACUGUCGGUUCGGUUUCUGCUCACCCCUAGCCAUCAAUACAUAUAAAUUGGCGUGCCAAUGAGGCAUUAUUCUAGUGACAAAGCUAGAGCACCCAAAGACUUUCUUUGUGAUAGGUCUUGAGUUCAAUUUCGUCUAUUUGUGGUGAUGUUUUCACUUCGCUUGGAUGAUGGUGAAGUACCGCCUAUGUGCGGAUUGCAUAAUUGAUUAUAUUCGUAUACAUAUAAAUCUGUGUAUUGUAUUUAAUCAAAAUUUAUAUUUUAUUACAAUUAACUAAAAAUUAAAAAAUGACAAAUAAAAUCUCAUUAUUUCACUUUUUUGUAUUUUUGAGAUAUUUUGUUUCUAUGAGUUCAAACUAUUGUUGAAUAUUUUAUUAUUUUUUCUUUAACAAAGUUGAACAUUUUAUUGUUAUCAACUUAUUUUAUAUGUUAUGUAAUCUUGAUUUUUUCUUCAAUAUCUUAUAUUUUAUAUAAUCUAUAUUUUUUAUUUCUAUGUAUAUUUUAUACAUUCUACAUUAGAUCAUUAAGAAUAAAAAAUAAAAUAAUUAUUUUAUUUUUACACUUUUAACUCGAUUAGCCCGAAAUCCGAACGUGUAGGAUUAGAAUUGAAAAUUUAUAAUCCGAUAAAAUAAUCAACCUGAUUAGUCCGCACUCGAUUAGCCCAAAAUUCGAUAGGGUUGGCCCGAAACUCGAUGGACUAGCCCCUAGUUGUGCCAUUACAACCAUGUGAAUGAGCUAAUAUUCUCAUAACCUUCAUUGUGUCUCACAAACCUCAAAGCCGAGGACCUUUUUAGGUUCUUCUCUCGUUCUUUAUGCCUAUGAGAGAGAGAGAGGGGUGGUGUUGUGUGUUGAUGAGGAAGGAGAAAUACAAGAAAAGAGGAAAAAGUGAGAUAUAGAUGGUGGUGGGCGAGGGGGUUAUAAUGAUACAAGGAAGAGGAAGAGAGGGUUUUUUCAUCACAAACGAGGACUUCACAAUCAUCAUUCUUUCCUCCUAAAUAUGCCCCAAAGAAUGAACCAUCUAAUCUGAUUUAAUUACUCGUACCUUCUCUCUCUCUCAAAGUAAACUACCCCUCCCCUCACCACCACCACUCCCAUUAAUUAUACCCCCCUCUCUCUCUCUCUCUCACAUAUUUACUGUGCUCACCUCACCUCACAUCUUAAAUAGAGCCCCCAACUGCCCCUUUUCUCCAUCUCUUUCUCCACAUCUACUUCUUGACAUCCUUUCGUCUGCGUGUGUGUGUGUGUGUGUGUGAGAGAGAGAGAGAGAGAGAGAGAGAGAGGAUCUAUGAUGAUCAAUUUCAUGGUGGGCUUCUCAAAGGGUUUCUUACAGAGUUUAUUGGCAUUCUGUCCACCUCCUCCUAUCAUUUUUUUUACCAUGAAAGAAAAAAAAACAAGAUAAAUAAUGUGGAAUUUAUGAAUAUGUUGCAAAUAUUUUUUCUUUUGUUAGUUAGAGGAGGUGGGCAUACUGCCAACUGAGCUCUGUUGGCUUCACUUUGCAAAACCCUCAUGAAUACAUAAAUUCUUGCUUCUGUCAAAAAAACCCCCCUUUUUUCACUUGUUUGUUUUUUCUUCCUGCAAAUUAUACUGCAACUGUUUGCAGGUCAAGGUAUGCAUGAUCUGAAAUUUUAGUUAUUGGAUUUAUUUUUUCUACUGAUCAUAUUUUUGUUUUUGUGCUUUUGUGUUUUGUAGUGGCAAUAUUGGCUAUCUGGAUUUCCUAAUUUCCUACAGCUGAACCCUAGUGUAUGGGACUUAUUACUUAAUUUUUAUUCAAUUUAGUUAAUUUACAAAGUUAUUUCAAGAAAUGCUGACUGAUUCAUUUUUUUUUUUCUGUGUUAAAUAUAUUUAGGUUUCUGUUGUUGGAAUCUCUUGGUAUUAAAGGGAUCAAAAAUUUGAGGCCUUUUUGACCCCCUUGGUUUUUAGCCAAGAAAAGCAAACUUCGCGGAGAGAAUUUCCCUAAAAUAAAAGAAUAAUACGAUUCAUUUCCUCUUAUGGGUUUUUAGUGUUUGUUUGUAACAGAAAUAUUCUACACAACCGAAUUCUAUAAAAGAUCAAGAAAUAUAACUUGAUUAGACGUAUGUAAUUUUCACAAACAUUCGAUAUCCCGACUAAGAAACUUUUUUUUUUUUUUUUUUUCUUUUCCUUCAUUUUUUAGGAAAAAGUUGACAUGGAAAAAGCGUAUGCAAAUUAGAGUGGGAGAAAUGGGGAUGGUAGGGCAAAAAGGAAGAAUAAAUUAGUGCUUUUGGUUUUUGCAGUGGGUAAGAGUAGAAGGCCUCGUAUUUUUACGUAGGCUCAUGAUUGAAUUUUCUGACAAUUUUAGCAUUAAAUAAUUGUAGUAUUUAAGACGCCAUGUAUAUAUGUAUAGCUUCAUCAGCUGCAGCAGCCCAUCUGCUCCAAUCUCUCUCUCUCUCUCUGCGAUAUUCACUGACAGUAAAAUCUUCCUCAAAUACUACUAGCUAGUUCAAGAUCAUCGAUCAUUUGGCACUUUCAAUUUAUUUCUUUUUCAUUUUUAAUUUUGUCCUCGUUGAUUAAUUAUUUUGAGAAAUAUGUAAAGUUGUAACCAUAUAUUGCAUGUUUUCUUACAAAAUAUAUGUGACAUGCAUGUUUGGCUUAAUUCUGUGAAGAUUGUCAAUGUCACCCGUAAAUAAAAAAAAUGAUGUUGAGGUAGUAAUUAAUGUUUUUGUUAUUAUAUCUAUCUUGUACUUGAAUUUACGUGUAGUGAAAGUAUUUUCUUGUUCAAUCCCUUGUUUUUUCAUAUAUGUACGGAGAGAAAUAUGUUGUUGGAUCCAUUAAAUAUUACUUUCGCUCCGCGAUCAUUUUUGAAUUCUCCCAUUUACUUCUUUUAUGUCCAAGUAAUCAUUAAUCAUUUUAUGUACUUUAUUAAAUAUACUGUACAUUUUGCAUUAUAAUUUUACAUUUUCAUGACCGUGUUGAAAAUAAAUAAAUUGAAGUGAAGUAAGACGGAAGGGAAGGAGUAAUAUAUAAGAUUGUUUUCAAUUAUGGUAUUUGCUUAAACUCCAUCAUUUUACAAAAUAUUUAUUCCAUUAUAAAAAAUACAGAUUUUAAUUAAGGGUUAAGGUGCAGAUAAGCCCCUCAAGUGGAGGCCCUUAGAGCGUUUCAGUCCCCUUACUAACUGUGUGUGCAAAUUGGCCCCCGAACUCAAAAAAAUGGUGCAGAUCGCCCCCUCUGACUUAACACCGUUAUGGGCCGUUAGUCAGAGGGGGCGAUCUGCACCGUUUUUUUGGAGUUCAGGGGCUAAUCUGCACCUUUUCCCUUUUUGGAGUUCGGGGGCCAAUCUGCACACCGUUCAUUAAAAAAAAUCACAUCUCAUCUUCUCCGACCAACUUUUCCGGCGUCAAUCGCCGUCAGAUGAGGAAAAUCACGAAAUCAAGUUCCCAAGCCCCAAAUCGGGAAUUCCAAAUCGGCGUCAUUGCUCCCGAAAAUCACAUAAUCGAAAUGGAAACUCGAAUUCUCCCUCGAACGUCACCACCCCCAAUUGCAGAAUCACCCCCAACGAAUCGAACUUCACCUCACCGUAGGCGGUGAUCGUGACCCCAAUCGAGAUCGAGNUCGAGAUCAUGUUCGCCAUGGUCUCUGAUUUGAAGGCGUCCUUCUUCAACAGCACGCCGAUAGUGUAGAUGGCGACGGGCAUCGUCGGCCUUUAUCACCGGAUUUCGCCGGAUUUGAGAGAAAGAGACGACUCCUUAUCGAGAAAAGCUAGGCGACUCCUCAUCGAGAAAAGCUAGGCGGCGGGUUCACCGGAUAUUGCGGCGGCGAUUUUCGACGGAAUGGGAGAAUUAAGGCUCGUCCUUGACGCUAAGCGUGUGCAGUCGAGCGAGCUCCGAGGUUUAGGGCCCAAGAGAGAAAGAAAGGGGCGGCGCCCUCCGCCGGCCUCGCCGGAGCUUGAAUCAGCGACAACGACGAUCAAAUUUUGAGCGAGAGAGAUGAAUUAAUUAAAAAGUUAAAAGGUGCAGAUUAGCCCCUGAACUCCGAAAAAACGGUGCAGAUCGCCCCCUUGACUAACGACCCAUAACUGUGUUAAGUCAGAGGGGCUUUAACAUGUAACUCCUAAAAGUUCCUAGGAUUAACGCCCUCACAGUUAUCAAUUCCCUUUAGAAUUAAAAUAGAUGUGUUCUAUGUUCUUAGUUCAGGUAAUAAUUAUCAUCUCCCGAUCUCAAAUUAAAACCUAUGAUUAUACUAAAUUGGUGGCCAAUCAAUAAAGCAAACAAUUAAAACAAGAACAAAGAAAGGAAUAACAAUCCAAUUAAUUGAAUCAAACAGUCAGAAAUUCAAACCAUGUUUACUCCCUAAACCCUGGGAAAAAAAAAGGAUUCUAGCCACACAUAGACAUAUGAACUAGAAUACAAUUCUCAAUAAAACACAUAAACAUCCACAAGAAAAACCGUAGUAGAAUUGAGAAUCUUCAGUUCUUGCUCUCGCUCCGUUCUCCGUCUCUCUCAGCUCUCAGGAAAAGUAAAAUAUGAUAAAAGAUGAUAAAAGCUUGCAGAGAAUAAGUUCUUGGGGAGUAUUUAUAUGCCCUAGGUCUUGUAGCUCUCAAAAAUACCCAAAAUCACUAAAAAAAUGAAUUUUGGGCGGAAAAACGGCGACUCGCGCGGCCACGUCGCGCGGCCGCAUGGCUGGCCCGCGUGACGAAACAGAACUCCUGACAGCUUUGCGCAGCGAUUUUGUUUUGGCUCGUUCUCCCUCGUCCGAACUCCGAUUUAUGAUCCGUUUGCGCUCACGAACUCCUAUCGAGACGAACUACAACUUGUAUUUCAGCCAAUUCUUCCAAAUUCUGCUUCAUUAUUUCUGAAAAUUCGUUCAAACACAAGCAAGUAACAAGUUCUUGACCAUAAACGAAUAUAAGCUCAAAUAGACCAUCAAACACACAAAAUCCUCACAACUAAGCAUAAAAAAUGACACACCAAGAGGUAAAAAUGCAUGUUUAUCAACGGCCCAUAACGGUGUUAAGUCAGAGGGGCUGAUCUGCACCGUUUUUUUGAGUUCGGGGGCCAAUUUGCACACACAGUUAGUAAGGGGACUGAAACGCUCUAAGGGCCUCCACUUGAGGGGCCUAUAUGCAUCUUAACCCUUUAAUUAAUUAUGAGUGAAGUUGUGAGUGGAAUAAAGAUCAUAUUUUAAAUGCUAGUGGAACUAUAAAUGGAAGUGAUGAAAACAAAAAAAAGCAAGUGACUUCUUUUUUGGUGACGAAUUGAAAAUGAAAUUAUGAAAUAUAUAUAUAUAGGGGGUGGUUAUUCAAUAAACCACCCUUAUUUUAAGAAUUACGAACCAACAAAAAUGCAUGAAUUUUAUGUAUAACACGCAUGAAUAAACUGUAUAAAGGUAUGAAUUGCGAAAAAUAAUUUUUGCUACCUUUGGGAUUCGAACUCAGGACCAUGAAUUUCUCCAACAAGGUGAUGAAUCAACCGUAGAUUUUGAUGAUCUAAGGGCUGAAAAUGGUUCCUAAUUUAUAUUUUAAGAGGCGUUUUUAUUUUAGCCUUCUCCUAUAUAUAUAUAUAUAUAUAUAUAUAUAUAUAUAUAUAUAUAUAUAUAUAUAGUAGAGAGAGAGAGAGAGAGAGAGAGAGAAUGGAUCCGUAGAGAAUGACAAAUAUUUUAAGAAUAGAGAAUUAUUUUGAUCCAUCCGAUUAAUCAUAUCUAACGGUUUAAAUUAAUACGUAUUUUUUUGUAUUUUAAUGUUAAAAGCUAGUGACGUAAAUUCAGUUUUUGUGGUAACCGUAAUCAAAUAUAUAAUACGGUUUGGGAUUCCUGGCCUCUCCUCGAUUCUAGGUCCUACGUGGCGUAUCUAAACAUUCAGUAUUCAAAAUUCUUGCAAUUCUAGAGCUUCUGGCAUAAUAUUAGUCAUCCUAUGUGGCAAAAUACAUCCUACAUCGCAUAUCUUAUUUUAAUUCUUAAAACACAAAAUUAAGUAUCUCUCCUCCCCAAAUUCAAUUCCCCUAAAUCACCCCCGUCUCCACACUACUCUCCCCUCCCCCGUCUGAAUCAGCGCUGCCCCUCCUUCCUCCGCCGUGAAUCCCUCCUCUUCGUUUGUCUAUUCUUUCUGCAGCUCCACACCAGCCUCUCCCCUCUCCCGCGGCAAUUACUCCGGCCCUAACUCGGCACCGUGGCCCCUCCUUCCUGUUUCCGCGUAGCAAUUUCUCCCUCUCUUCCGCCGCGAUUCGCGUCACCGCCGCUGCCGCAAUCGCUAGAGAUCUACUCCGAUCUGCCACCGCGGCCCCUUCUUCCUGUCUCCGCGUAGCAAUUUCUCCCUCUCUUCCGUCGCGAUUCGCGUCACCGCCGCUGCCGCAAUCGCCAGAGAUCUGCUCCGAUCUGCCUCCCACUCCACCAAUUUCUUCAUUCUGCCUCCCGCUGCGAUUCACUUCACCGCGCCGGCCACCGCCGAGAUCGACACAG
Molecule: long non-coding RNA, 85959 nt
Filed under: Salvia miltiorrhiza (redroot sage)
Lineage: Eukaryota; Viridiplantae; Streptophyta; Magnoliopsida; Lamiales; Lamiaceae
Description: long non-coding RNA (SMIL_LNC010747)
Rfam family: MIR394 microRNA precursor family (bases 80875-81037)
Source: RNAcentral